Molecule: long non-coding RNA, 52303 nt
Filed under: Malus domestica (apple)
Lineage: Eukaryota; Viridiplantae; Streptophyta; Magnoliopsida; Rosales; Rosaceae
Description: long non-coding RNA (MDOM_LNC001140)
Source: RNAcentral
CCAUCCGGAUUAUCCACCCUAUCGUACGGGUCCUCCGAAGCCCUAUCCAACCCGAUAUAGUACGGCGAGUCAUUGGGCUUCGCAACCCAGCUCGCCCGGGAGGACAUCCGGACCCGGCCCAUGGACCCACGGGUGGACAAGCUGGACCGCGACAGCGUUCUGGGGAGCUCCGCCAGGUUGGAGGAGGACUGGGAGGGGGAAGGUGGAUCGGGUUUGGAGGGUCGGCGUCGUUUUAGGUAGAGCUGGAGGCAGUAAUAGAGAGCACAUGGGAUUAGAGAGCCGAGGAUGAGGCCGCCUCUGCCUUGGACGACGCCUUGGAGUGGCACAAUCAGUCUCAUCGCGGUGACUCCGGUGGGCUUGUUUCGGGUUGGGUCGGAGUCGGUUUGGCCGGUCCAGGUCUCGAGCUGCAGUGGGAGGGUUUCGGGUUGGCCGUUGGUUGGCGUGGAGGGAUUGAGUGAGAUUCGAGAGCCCUGCGAGGGAAGUGUGUGUUUUGCAGUUUCGCUUCCAGAAACUUUUGGUCUGGUUAUGAUUGGCACCUGCCAGUUUCCAUCUUUGCAUCUUUUGUUGGUGCCGUGCAAACACCAUCGUCGUAUAAUAACAAAAAGAACGAAAUUUCAUUCUUUUUGGGGCUAAAGAUGUAAUUUUGAAUCAAAUGUUUUUCUUAUCAUAUUUGUAACCGUUGUCUAAUAAAGACGAGAUAUAUAUGUGUGUGGACCCUACUUCUAUUAAGGAGAUUGAGAAAUUUUUUAAUGUGCUUAAAACAAUAGUUGUAACAUAUGUCCUGAUACAAAUACUAGAUACUAUUUCGUGUUUCAAGCCCAUUGAAAACUCUCUCAUAUCACAUUGUUAAUAAGCUUUUUAAUUCGAAUUUUUCUUUCUCACGGUAUCGAUAAUAUACCAACUUGUAAUGAAUCCACUCAUAUAUAUAUAUAUGUGUGUAUCUUCCCAAGUAUACCAGCACUCCAUAAAUCAUUGAACAUUGAAUCAGAACAAGUGGAUUACACAUGUCAAUGGUUGAGACAAAUGCUGACUCAUCACAUCACUUUUGUGUUUGUGUGCAUCUUCCCAAGUAUACCAGCACUCCAUAAAUUAUUGAACUUUGAAUCAGAACAAGUCUGCAAUAUGAUGGAUUACACAUGUCAAUAGUUGAGACAAACGCUGACUCAUCACAUCACUUUCAUAGAUCGGAGGCAGAUUGUCUGCCCUCAUAUGCUUUUCUAAUUUCCUCAUCUUUUAUGCGGUCAUGAUUAAGUCACGUCAAUAUUUUAUAUUGAUUUUUUUUAUAAAGAUAAUAAGACAAACAACAAUAAGAAUAUAAAAUGUUGACGUGACUUAACCGUGACCGCACAAAUAGGAAGAAAUGGAAAUAACAUCCAAACAGAAGGGCAGAGAAUCUACCUCCUCAUAGAUUCGGUCUCCUUGCAAUCUAGAAAGCCAUCUGCAACCUAAGCAGAAAUAUUGCACCACAAUUUAUUCGUGCUCUCUGUUGAUAGGGCGUUUAGAGCAGUUGCCAAGUUGGAUUUCAAACACCUCGUCAGGAUAACAAUUUUUUGGUCAAGGUUGAGAGAUUCCCCAUUAAAAGCCCUUCAAAAUCUACCUAAUCUGUUGGAGCUAGUUUUGAAAAUCAAUGCAUAUGAUGGUGUGCAGCUGCAUCUUGAGGAAUGAGGAUUUCAGAAGCUGAGGCAUCUGGAACUCAGGGACAUGGAGGGACUAAAUUCAUUGAUCAUGGACAAUGGGGUUAUGCCUCUUCUCCAAGAGUUUCACAUUGGACCUUCCCCACAACUGAAGGAGGUGCUCUUGUUUUCGUUGACAUGCCAAAGGAGUUUGCACGACAUAUGGAUCCAAAUAAUGGACUAUAAUAUUGUAUUGUUGAACAUAUACAAGAUGUCCGCUUUAGUUACAAGUUCGGACCAAGAUGGGGGUAUAUAUGAAACUCACGCCCUACGUGAUUCCAACUUUUCUUUUUGGUAGAAGAUUCCAACUUGUGAAACCAAGCACGGGAAUGAGAUGGUCUCUUUUUGUACAGUUUUUGGUUAGAGAGGUUAAGGAGUUGUUAAGAAUUGGUUGUUAGCUCUGGUAUCCUAGUUUCUCUUGCAGGUUGACUGGGAGUGGCUCUUUCUCUUCUGUUUUCUUUGUGUCGUCGAGUCUAGUGAUCUUUCUAGCAUUUUCCUUAUAAACUGGUUUUUUUUUAUAAAAAUUGAAAAUAAAAAGGUAUCUUCUUCUCAAAUUCAGAAUGUUCAAAUGACCUAAUAAAAUUUCAUUGAACUUUAGGCGAAUAAAUCAAGUUUUUACCAGAGAUGAGUGUUAAUCUACAAUGGCUAUUUUAUUCAAAAAGUUUUUUAGUAGUUUAAAAUCAUCAAACUAACUUUUUAUUUGAAUGUGUUAAAAUUGGUUACCAGCAGGUAAUGGAUUCUUAACGUGUUAACUUGAAAUUCAUUAUUUUCGUAUCAUUUCGAGUUAAGUUAACAGAUCGUAUAAGAAAUUAUCAGAUCUAACAUUUAAAAGGAAGAUUUGAAAGGCUUGAUGAACGUUGGCAGGCCUACCAAAUAUAAAAUGGUUUUGUUUGUUUGUUAAUUUAUAAAAACUUAAAAAGAGAGUUGGGUAGGUAUUGUAUUGACGCAAAGCCAGAGGCAACCUUGCUGGUUUGGUCUCACUUGUUGACCUCUAUUGCUGCAACAUAGCAAUUUUCCUGCUCAGCUGUAAAAGAACUAUGUCACUAUAUUGCAAAGGUGUAAAGUCUUUUAUUUUUUACAUACCACCUCUCCAAUCACAUUGUUAACCACCUUUUUAAUUCGAGUUUUUCUUUCUUACUGUACCAAUAAGAUCGAAUUAAUCCGCUCGUAUAUCAUCCCAACUCCACGGUAUAUAAUAUAGCAGCACUCCUAAAAUUAUUGAAAAGAUGUGUGAUAUUUAUACACCCCUUUUUACUUCUAACACACGCUUUUAAUUUUCGGCCAUCGGAUUGGAUGAAUUGAAGAAGAUCAAAUGACAGAAAUCAACAAAAGAUGUGUAAGAAGUAAAAAAUGAUGUGUGGAUAGCACACCCCUGUUGAAAAUUGAAUCAGAACAAGUCCGCAAUAUGAUAUGAUGGAUUACCUAACCAGAAAUAUUCCACACAGAAGUCGUCUGCAACCUAACCAGAAAUAUUCCACAAGGAAGUAUUCAUAUAGAGAUUUUUCUCAAUCAAUUAUAGAUACUUUUUCUGCCAGAAAAGGCAGGAUACAAAAUGGCAGAAUCAGUUGUAUGCUUUGUGAUCGAUAAGUUAAUUUCACUACUCAUCACCACAGAAGCGAAACUUUCAAGAGACGUGCGUGCUGAAGUUGGUUUUCUCAGAGAUGAGCUUGAAAGCAUCCGAUCAUUCCUCAAGGAUGCAGACGCAGCAGCAGCAGCAGCAGCAGAAGGAGACAUGGUGACUGACAGUGCCAAAACUUGGGUCAAACAAGUAAGGGAAGCAGCUUUUUACAUUGAAGAUGUCAUCGAUGAGUAUUUGCUUCGUGUCACAAGGCACCAUCAAGACCGCGGAUUCGUUCGCUUUGUCCACAAAGUUGUUUGGUUUCUGAAGAAAAUGAAACCACAGGAUGAGAUAGCCUCAAAAAUAGAGGGCAUGAGAGCAUUGGUUAGUGAAAUCAAGGCUAGACAUGAAAGAUAUGGACUUGGUUCAAUUGAUCAGCAAGGUCAAAGCAGUGAAGAAAUUGUUGUUUCGUGGCAUGACCCUCGAGUGGCUUCCCUUUUCAUCGAGGAAGCUGAAGUUGUUGGUGUGGAAUCUGCCAGAGAUGAGCUGAUUAGUUGGUUGGUAGGAAAAGCAUCAAGAGGCGAAUACCGUGAAGUAAUAUCAGUGGUUGGCAUGGGAGGACUUGGUAAGACCACUCUCGCCAAGAAAGUCUAUGACAACCAAAAGGUGAUCGAACACUUCGAUUGCCAUGCUUGGAUUACAGUGUCUCAGACGUACAAGGUGGAGGAUCUUCUGAGGCAGAUGGUAAUGCAAUUCUACAAGGCCAGGAAGGAAUAUACCCCGGAGAGAAAAAGAAUCUUUAAUUAGAAAAUCAAGAGAAUUACUGCAGCAAAAGAGGUACAUGAUUGUGUUUGAUGAUAUGGAAAGUAGAUUUUUAGGAGGCGAUAGAACAUGCUUUACCGGAUAAUAAAGGCGGAAGAAUAGUGAUCACCACGAGGAUUAAAGAUGUUGCUGAUUUUUGCAAAAAGUCUUCUUAUGUUCAUGUUUACCGUUUGCAACCUCUGCCUCCAAACAAGGCAUGGGAAUUGUUUUGUAGAAGGGCGUUUCAAUAUGAAUUGGAGGUGAACUGCCCUGCAGAUUUGAAAGAUUUGUCUCUUGAAUUCGUUAGAAAGUGCGAAGGAUUGCCUUUGGCAAUUGUUUCCAUAGGUGGUCUGCUGUCAACAAAAGUUAAAGUUGUGUCUGAAUGGCAGAAGUUAUACGAUAGCUUAAGUUCAGAGUUAGAAAGCAAUCCCCACCUUACAAGCCUCACAAGAAUUCUAUCCUUCAGCUAUCAUCAUCUACCGUAUCACCUCAAAUCAUGUGUCUUAUACUUUGGCAUCUUUCCCGAGGACCACUCAAUUAGUUGCGUGAGACUAGCUCGGUUGUGGAUCGCUGAAGGCUUUGUGAAACCGAAGAGAGGCAAGACACUAGAAGAGGUUGCAGAGGAAUACUUGACUGAACUGAUACAUAGAAGCCUAGUGCAAGUGUCACAGGUUUGGAUCGAUGGGAAAGCUAGAAGCUGUCGAGUCCAUGAUCUGAUGCGCGAAGUGCUCCUUAGAAAAGCGGUGGAUUCAAAUUUCUGUCAUGUGUUAUCAGAAAAUGAGUCAACAUUAAAGCCAAUAACUCGACGCCUCUUGAUAGACAGCACGCCCCAUGGUGCCUUGGGAAUAAUUGAACAAUCUCGCAUUCGUUCUUUAUUUACUUUCAACCAAGAACAAUGGCCCGAGUCUUUUCUCAGUACACUGAGUGGAAACUUUAAACUUAUGAAAAUAUUGGAUUUUGCAGAUGCUCCCCUGAAUCAUCUUCCGAAGUAUGUGGGGGAUUUGUAUCUCUUGAAGUACUUAAGCCUAAGGAAUACAAAGGUGAAGUUGCUUCCAGAGUCCAUAUGUAAUCUGCAAAACUUAGAAACCCUGGAUUUAAAACAGUCUCUGGUAUAUGAAAUACCAGCCAAGAUCAAUAAGCUUCUAAGGUUGCGACAUCUUUUGGCCCAUUAUACUGACUCCAGCAUAGAUUUCAGCAUGAUCAGUUACGAACGAGGAGUGAAAAUUCACGAUGAUAUUGGAUGCUUACAAGCUUUGCAAGAGUUAUACCAUGUGGAAACAAAUCACGGCGGAAUCAACCUAAUUAAAGCAUUGGAAAAGUUGAGGCAACUGCGCAAGCUGGGCCUGAAAAACUUGAAACAUGAAUAUGGACGAGCUCUAUGUGCUUCCGUUGAAAAGAUGAACCACCUUGAAUCUCUAGAAGUAAGCACAAUAAAUGAAGAUGAAGUCCUCGACCUACAAUCCAUUUCAACUCCACCCAAAUCUAUUCGGUUUCUCUACUUAAAGGGGCCUCUGGAGAAGUUGCCAAGUUGGAUUCCAAAGCUUCAACAACUCGUCAAGUUACGAAUUUUUUGGUCAAGGUUGACAAAUGCCCCACUGAAAGCCCUUCAAAACCUUCCUAAUUUGGUAGAGCUUGGGUUUUCAUACAAUGCAUAUGAUGGUGUGCAACUGCAUUUUGAGGGAGGCUUUAAGGAACUCAGGGUGUUGAAACUCAAGCACUUGCCCAGACUAAACUCAUUGAUCAUAGACAAUGGGGCUAUGCCUCUUCUCCGAGAGCUACAAAUUGGGCCUUCCCCACAACUGAAGGAGGUGCCCUCUGGCAUCCAGCACCUCAGAAAUCUAAGCUUUCUUAGAUUUGUUGACAUGCCAAAAGAGUUCCGACGACAUAUGGAUCCAAAUAAUGGCCAACAUUAUUGGAUUGUUGAACAUGUUCUUUUUAGUUACAAGUUGGGACCAAGAUGCGAUGUAUAUGAAACUCACGCCCUGCGUGAUUCCAACCUGUGAAAGCAUAUCUACUUGUGAGUUUUAAUCCCAGACACCCCAUAUAACUCGCAAGGCUUAAAUGAAAUCGCCAAAUGUCAUUGUUGACACGAUCUCUGAUAUUCUUUAGUAUUAUCAACUGUUAUAGAUGUUUGCUUUGUAUGAAAACAAAACAUAAAAACUUCAUUCAUGUUUGUGAGGAGUUGAUUGUAUUUGAGCAGGCAACAUUGAUUAUUUCUCACAACCAAGACAAGUGUUUGGCUAAUUAUUUCUCACACUAUCUAAUCAAAUGAAGGGCUAGGAGUUUCAGUUUGAAUGUCGGUCCUAAAUCAUUUCUUUUGUUCCAGACAUGUUUCUGAAUUUGAAGCAUUGAACUUUUGCUCAGCAAACAAGCAUUGUACGUAAGAUUUUUUUCGGUUGAAAGGCUUCAUGGCAAGCCUACCACAGGUCUCCAAGGAUAAUCAUAGGCAACUUGCGAGGUUGAAUAUCAUUUGCAACCCAGCUAGCAGAAACAAAAGAGUCCCUUCUCUAGUACCAAGCUUAGCUAGAAGUCGAGGUUUUCGCCACACGAAUUAAUUACGUAAAAUGAAACAAAUUAAAUCUGAAUUAUGCAUGGUAAGUGAUGGAUGGCAGAUUCAAAUCAAAGAGAAGCAGUUAUAUAUGUUAAUGGAAGAUCAGAGCAAAACGCAUGGCUUAAACUUCAUUGCUUUACAUCUGCAACCUUAUCAGAAAGAACACAAAAGUCUCUAAGCAUACAUAUAGUGUGUUAAAACCUGAUUGCAUAAGUUAAUGAAAAAGUAGCAGAAGCAGUUGUAUUCUUUGUGAUUGAUAAGUCUCUACUCAUCUACUGUACAGAAGCAAAACUUCCAAGAGAUGUAUGAUAGAGAUUUUAACACAUGUUCAGGAACUGGUAUAAACAAUUUACGAGUUUUUGGAUUAUUUAACUUAAUUAACUCUAAGAAUUAUAUUGGAGCAGUUAUGUUUUUAUUUAAUAUAUAUGUGUGUGUGUAUAUAUAUAUAUAUGAUUUGUUUUAUUAGAAACAUUAAAUAUAUAUAUAUAUAUAAUUGUCAUUAGGAGCAAUUUUUAUUCGUAAAUAUAUUGGAGACGUUGUCAAUUAUGAGUCAUUUCCACUCUUAAUUAUAUAGGAGAUGUGAGGAAGUUUUCUACUUCAACAAAUUUGAAAUGCCUUCUCUGAAUAGAUAUAUAUAUAUAUAUAUAUAUAUAUAUAUAUAUAUAUAUAUAUAUAGAUAUAUAUAGAUAUAUCAAUUAUGAGUCAUUUCCACUCUUAAUUAUAUAGGAGACGUGAGGAAGUUUUCUACUUCAACAAAUUUGAAAUGCCUUAUCUAUAUAGAUAUAUAUAUAUAUAUAUAUAUAGAUAUAUAUCUAUUCAGAGAAGGCAUUUCAAAUUUGUUGAGAGAGAUAUAGAUAUAUAGAUAUAUAUCUAUAUAUAUAUAUAUCUAUUCAGAGAAGGCAUUUCAAAUUUGUUGAGUGAGAGAGAGAGAGAGAGAAUACUAUAAGCUGAUAAAUAAUUUUUGAAAUUAAGUUUUGAGAGCAACAUAUUGAAAUCUAUUCAGAGAAGGCAUUUCAAAUUUGUUGAGAGAGAGAGGGGGAGAGAGAGAGAGAGAAUACUAUAAGCUGAUAAAUAAUUUUUGAAAUUAAGUUUUGAGAGCAACAUAUUGAAAGGGUGCAAGUUUGAAAGGUUCUGGGCUGUUUUAUCCUGAGGACGACGUGGUGUUUGUGAACUUCUUGCACACUUUGGGUAGAGCCGCGAAACAUCUUAAAGAUAGCGACUUAGUCCGCAACUCAUCCCAAGAAUCAUUCAUUACUCAAGGGUUUUACAUUUUCCGGGUAACUUCGUUCAUUUCUAUUUCAGUUUAAACAAUUUUAAGACGAAUUCAAUCUGCCAUGCAUUAUAAGGAAAACUCUACUUCUCAAGCAAAUCUUGUUGAAGAGCAAUUGAUUGCAAUGAUAUCAGAUAUCAACCUAGUUGAUGGAUCAGAAGGGUGGUGGGUGGACAUUGGCGCUUUUCGCCAUGUUUGCUAUGAUCGAUCCCUUUUCAAUACCUAUUCUGUGGCUGAGGGAAGAAAGGUGUUGUUGGGUGAUUCGCACUCAACUGAUGUUGCUGGUACUGGAGAGGUGGAGUUGAAAUUCACCUCUGGAAAAACCAUGAUACUGAAAGAUGUGAUGCACGCUUCGGCGAUAAGAAAGAAUCUUGUCUCGGGCUUUCUUCUCAACAAGGCUGGAUUCACUCAAACGUUUGGAGCAGAUACGUAUACUCUUACUAAAAUGAGGUUUUUGUGGGAAAAGGGAUAUGCUACUGAUGGAAUGUUUAAAUUGAAUAUUGAUAAAAUGUCUGCUUCUGCUUACAUGUUGUCUUCUUUUAAUACUUGGUAUGCUAGACUUUGUUAUGUUAACAAACGCUUGGUUAAGAACAUGAGUAACUUAGGCUUUUUACCCAACUUAUCAUUGAAUGAUUUUGAAAAAUGUGAAUACUGUAGUCAAGCUAAAAUCACUAGAACUUCGCAUAAAUAUGUCAAUAGAGAAUCUGAACCACUUGACUUAAUUCAUUCUGAUAUAUGUGAAUUUGAUAGAGUGUUAACUAGAAAUGGAAAACGUUAUUUUAUUACCUUUAUUGAUGAUUGUUCAAAUUACUGUUUUGUCUAUCUUAUAAAAAAUAAAAGUGAAGUUAUUGACAUGUUCAAAACUUUCCUGAUUGAAGUUGAAAAUCAUUUAAUCGUAAGUUUAAAAGAUUUUGUAGUGAUAGAGGACAAUAUCAUUUAAUCAUUUAAUCGUAAGUUUAAAAAAAAUUCUUGACGAGCCCUAUAUCUCUGCAAUGUUAGAUUUCCCAUUUUCUUAUCCAUUUUUCCAGUUCGAGGCAGUAAAGUUCUGUGGGUUUCCGGGGAUUUUGUCAUUUUCCGGACACUUUGGCAACCAUUUCCUUUGAGUGAGGUAUGAAACUUCAUCUACUCUUCAUAAUCUUCAAGUUGGUAUGCUUGGUUCGUGCUUUUGUAUUCAUUUUAGUGUUGGGUGUUUAGAACCCUAGAAAUCCGGUUUUCUCUGGUGAAUUUGGAUGGUUUCCAAUUAGAAUUUAUAUUCGGCCUAGUUGUGAAAAGUGUUUCCCUUGUUGAGCUCUAGUUACCACUUAAAUUUGAGCUCAUUUAGUUAAUAUUGAAAAUUCAGGUUUUCAAAACCCUCCACCUUAGUUAUCAGUUGUUGGACCUUUGAGAACUUACGGAUCGGAGAUCUGAUGUGCGGAUCUUCCAGUUUGAAUAACCUUAGAUUGUUGACCUUAUUGACGAUUGACAUUCUAGUCAACGUGCUAUACUCUAGAGUGUCGUUUAUCUCUAGUUUGUUGUUGAUGCUUGAUGGAACUUAGUUGGCUCAUCACGAUGAUGUGUCGUUCUCGGUUGAUGUGUGUCUCGAUAUAUGUAUUAGUGCCACCAUAUUGAGUUAUACUUGUUAAUUUAAUGUGCUUUCUAUUGAAAUGUUAUUUUAUUUUUAGCAUCAAUCUAUGUUUAUUAAUUGUGAUUUGACUGUAGCUUGGAAACAUUUAUGAAAUGUGGUUAGAUAUGUAUGAUCAGUAUGAUGUGUAUAAUUGUUUUUAGGACAAUGUGAACCCAGAAUCUUAUGAGAAGUAUUAUGUAUAACUUUUAUGCUUGUAUGAUAAGAUAGUUAGUGGUCAUGAGAAGUUGAUAGUGCAAGUGAUUCUGUUGAGUGAUGGUCCGGAAUCGUAUACUUGUUUGGAUUCCGUUGAGUGAUAGUCUGGAAUCCCUUCUACUUCGUGAUUCUGUUGAGUGAUGGUUCAGAAUCGUAUACUUGUUUGGAUUCCGUUGAGUGAUGGUCUGGAAUCCCUUCUACUUCGUGAUUCCGUUGAGUGAUGGUUCGGAAUCGUAUACUUGUUUGGAUUCCGUUGAGUGAUGGUCCAGAAUCCCUUCUACUCUGCGAUUCCGUUGAGUGAUGGUCCGGAAUCAUAUCCUUGUUAAGAUUCCGUUGAGUGAUGGUCCAUAAUCGUAUCCUUAUUUGGAUUCUAUUGAGUGAUGGUCUGGAAUCAUUUCCUGGUUUGGAUUCCGUUGAGUGGUCCAAAGUCGCAUCACUUGACUUGUUGGUUUCUUAGAUUUGACAUCAGCUUUAGAGAUGCAGACUUGGCUUAACUGUGUCACUCUAGCCUUAGUUUUAGUAUAUUUGUGAGCAAUGGUUUUGAGAAUCUUGUGAAUUGAAUUAGAAAAGCUGUUGGACGUUUGGGUGACUCUUUCAUGAUUUUCUAUGAUUCGAUUAUGAUAUCAUAAGGUAUGAAUUUAGAAGAUAUGGUUAUAGUUGUUAUUAUUUUGGUCAAAUUAGUUAAUUAAUGUGGCUAGAGAAUUAUAUUGUGCUUCGUCGGUUCUUUGAUAUAAUAUAUGUUGUGAAUUGCGGUAUCAUGUUGCGACAUAAUGACUUAUAUAGAAGAUGGAAGGGAAAUCAUGAUUUUCAGGUGGGUUUGUUAUGUAACUCUGAGUCUAGUAAUUUUAUGCUUGGCAAGUUCUAUUGAUUGAUUGAGAAAUGUUAUGCCUUUCAGCUUAAACGGACUGUGAUAUAUGUCAAUUAUAGUGCAUGACGAACUAUGAAUGGCUUGAUCUAUAUUUAGGGUACGUAAGCAGUCUAACGAGGAUGUUAGAUGCAGCCAUAAAGCAUACGAAAAAUUACUAUGUGAUUCGAUUAUCGAAUUGUGCUUUGCCCAUAUUCCGGAGUCGGGGUAUGAUAGAUACGGGUAUUUGGUGACAUCACGUGUCGAUCCUAGACGUAUGUCGGGAUCGGGGCUUGACAUGGGUGAAAUUGUGUUGACUAUAUGUUAUGUGUUAAAUAGAAUUCCUAACUCAAAAACGAAUAUUUCUCCUUAUGAAAUUUGGAAAAAUAAGAAACCAAAUGUGUUGUAUUUCAGAACUUGGGGUUGUUUAGCUUAUGUUCGUAAACCUGAUAAAAAAAGAUUGAAAUUGGCUAGUAGAGCAUAUGAAUGUGUUUUUAUUGGUGAUGCAUGUAAUAGCAAAGCAUAUAGAUUUUAUGAUUUGAAAAACCAUGUCAAAUUGAGUCACUUGAUGCUGACUUUUAUGAGAAUAAAUUUCCUUUUAAUCUUCGAAAUAGUGGGGGUUCUAAUUCUUCUAAAAUUUAUGCACCUCCUGUUGUAGAACAUAGUCAAUCUGCAUUAGAACCUAGGAAAAGUAAAAGAGCUCGAAUAACUAAAGAUUUUGGACCUGAUUUUCAUGUAUAUAACUUACAAGAAGAUCCUAAUACAAUUCAAGAAGCUUUAACUUCUUUAGAUGCAGCUUUGUGGCAAAAAGUUAUAAAUGAUGAAAUGGACUCCCUGGAGUCAAAUCAAACUUGGCACUUGGUGGAUCUUCCACCUGGUUGCAAAACAAUAGAUUGCAAAUGGAUUCUUAAAAGAAAAUUAAAACCUGACGGUUCAGUUGAAAAUUUUAGAGCCCGACUUGUUGCUAAAGGCUAUAGACAAAGAGAAAAUAUGAUUUCUUUAAUACUUAUUCACCUGUGACUAGAAUAACAUCUAUUCGUGUAUUAUUUGCUUUAGCUUCUAUUCAUGAUCUUGUUGUGCACCAAAUGGAUGUUAAAACAACUUUCUUAAAUGGUGAAUUAUAGGAAGAAAUAUAUAUGGAUCAACCAGAGGGUUUUAUCAUUCCAGGACAAGAAAAUAAAGUUUGCAAGUUAGAUAAGUCACUUUAUGAAUUGAAAUAGGCUCCUAAACAAUGGCAUGCAAAAUUUGAUAGUUUGAUUACUUCGAAUGGUUUUAAAAUAAAUGAAAGUGAUAAAUGCAUCUAUUAUAAGUCUAAAAAUAAUAUAUGCAUUAUAAUAUGCUUAUAUGUGGAUGAUUUGCUUAUUUUUGGUUUGAAUAUUCAUGUUAUGAAUAAUGUCAAAACUUUAUUAUGUGCUAAUUUUGAUAUGAAAGACUUGGAUGAAGCUAGUGUAAUACUUGGUUUGAAAAUAACUAGGUCCGAAAAUGGGUUUUCUUUAGAUCAAUCCCACUACAUAGAAUUUUUUUUAAGAAAGUAUAAUUAUUUUGAUUGUAAACUAGCAUGUAUUCCUUCUGAUCCUAGUGUAAAAUUGUUCAAGAACACUGGUGACAGUAUUAAACAAUCUAAGUAUGUGAGCAUUAUUGAUAGUUUUCGUUAUGCUACUGAUUGCACUAGGCCUGGUAUAUCUUAUGUUGUAGGAGUUUUAUGCAGGUUCACUAGCAGACCUGGUUUGGAGCAUUGACAUGCUAUAGAGAGGCUUAUGAGAUACCUUAAAAGAACGAUGAAUUUCAGAUUACACUAUGAGAAGUUUCCCGUUGUCCUAGAAGGUUACAGCGAUGCUGAUUGGAAUACCCAUUCAUAUGACUCUAAAGCCACUAGUGGAUAUAUUUUUAGUAUUGGUAGCAGGGCUGUGUCAUGAAGUCGAAGAAACAGACUAUCUUGGCUCAGUCUACUAUAGAGUCAUAAUUAAUAACACUAGUUACGGCAAGCGAAGAAGCAGGAUCGUUGAGAAACCUACUAUCAUAUACCCAUUUAUGGGAGAAACCGAUUCUAGCAGUUUUUAUCCAUUGUGACAGCACAUCGGCAAUAGCUAAAGUACAAAACCGUUAUUAUAACAGGAACAUGCGACAAAUACGUCGUAAGCACAACACUGUAAGAGAUUAUCUCUCUAAUGGAGCUGUAAGAGUGGAUCAUAUACGGUCUGAAGAAAACUUGGCUAAUCCUUUAAUGAAAGGAUUAGCACGAGAAAAGGUUUGGAAAACCUCGAAAGGGAUGAGACUAAAGCCUUUAGAAAAUUGAGUCAUUUGUGAUAGCAACCCAACCUAUAGACUGGUGAUCCCAAUAAAUAGGUUUAAAGGGUAAUAAUAAGUCACAAGUGAUAUGAGUGAAGUUUUGCUAAUUUAAUUUGGAAAAUUAUUCCAUGUCCAUCCCUAAGAAGCCUGACAUCUUGAAGCGUUUUUAGGUUGAGAUUUUUUUUCUCUUAGUAAGGUCUAUGCUCUAUGUUGAGUGGGAUAUCUAGCUGCAGGAAUAUCCUUGAUAGUCUUACCUAUGUGGAUGUGGAAGUGAGGCCGCUUCCUAUGAAAUCUUGGGCAAGUUUCUAGAGCAUUCACUAUACUGGGAUAUAAGCACAUGAUCGUAAUAUGCUGACUUUUUAAACUUCACCUUAAUAAAGUUAUGUGUGUGGUGUUGUCAGAGAUAGAGUUCAAAACUAUAAGUUACUCUAGUAUAAUUUGGAUCACUAACACUAUGUACAUGUUCAAGUUGAGAAACACCUUUACUUAUGCAUAUCUUUAUGAUAUGUUGCUUGAUAUACAAUUUUUAAACAAAAACAAGUGGGGGAUUGUUGGAGCAGUUAUGUUUUUAUUUAAUAUAUGUGUGUGUACAUAUAUAUAUAUAUAUUUAUGAUUUGUUUUAUUAGAAACAUUAAAUAUAUAUAACUGUCAUUAGGAGUAAUUUUUAUUCGUAAAUAUAUUGGAGACGUUGUCAAUUAGGCGUAAUUUCCAAUCUUAAUUAUAUAGGAGACAUGAGGAAGUUUAUUACUUCAACAAAUUUGAAAUGCCUUCUCUGAAUAGAGAUGAAGAUCACGUCCACAUCCAUAUAUAAUCUAUCCGUUUUGAUUUGUAUGUUUUGGUUUUUUCCAGAUUUCUAGUCCUUAAUUUAUAAAUCCUUCAACCUCUAUUUCUUUACUUUGUAUAUAAAUACAAGUCCUGAGUAUCGAUAAAAAAAAGAUAUAUAUAUAUAUAUAUAUAUAUAUAUAGAGAGAGAGAGAGAGAGAGAGAGAGAGCUAUAAUCUGAUAAAUAAUUUUUGAAAUUAAGUUUUGAGAGCAACAUAUUGAAAGGGUGCAAGUUUGAAGGUUCUUCCAUUAUGCAAGGAAGAACCUUAUCAGAAGAAGGUUUUAGGCUGUUUUAUCAUGAGGACGACGUUGUGUUUGUGAACUGCUUGCACAUUUUGGACAGAGCCGCGAAACGUCUUAAAGAGAGCGACUUAGUCUGCGACUCAUCCCAAGAAUCAUUCAUCACUCAAGGCUUUUACAUUUUUCGGGUAACUUUGUUCCUUUCUAUUUCAGUUUUCAACAAACUACAUUAAUUUGACAAAACUAAAUUCUAUUGUACGUGACUUAAACAAAUAUAUAAAAUGAGAAUUGGCUUACAGAAAUGGUGAUUUAACUAAACAAAACAAGUAAAUGUAGAAACUUAAAAUAAUAGAAAUAAUUGAAGAAAAUUAGAUUGACAAGGCACUAGAGUUUGACCUUUACCAACAACACUCCUACGUAGUUCUUCCAAUUCCUUAAGUAAUCGAAAACACACAUGCCUUGAAGGUUGAGUUUUUCCUUAUGUAAUUUUACUUGUGACAUUCAAGCUAAAUCACAUAUCACUACAUGCAAUUCAUCCAUAACAUUGAGAUUAAAUAUAAACAUGAGUGAUUUAUUGAUCUUGGUGAAAAUCCUUUUAAUAAACCAUGUAAUCCCUAAGAGUAUCAUAUUUACCUUAGGAGAAAUUACAAUCCUCAAUCACAAGAAUCAUAACCAAUUUUAACGUGAUAUUCGUUCAAAAUUACAUUCGAUGACUGUUCUAAGCAUCCCAAUGGUGAUCAAGCAUCAAAGCACGUAGAUAAUUUAAUUUAGUAAUUGAAAAUAUCAAAGUAAGCAUGUAACAAUACUUAAACAAUUAAAAGAGACGUAUUCAUGUUGAAGCUCAUGACCUCACUCAAGCGAAAGAAAAUUAAUUAUACAUACUUAUCUGAAAACAUAAAAAAUUAUCCAUAAAAAAUCAAAGCAAAAAUACAACCUUUAUUUACAAGAAUUAUUCCUGCUGAGCUGCUUCCAUCCUCCGCUCUCUGCCUUUGCUCUCUUCUUCUACUGAGCCUUCCGUCCUUCUCCCUGCUUCUCUUCUGUUUUUCCUCGUCUGCUUCGUGCCCUUCCCUCGACCAAAUGCAGCUAUCUGCUUUUUCCCAGCCACAAAGGCCCAAUGGAAGACAAGUCAAAUUUCACUUCGGUAGUGGGAUUGGCAAGGCAAAGUACAAAGUUACCUGUCUCUUUCUUUUUUCUCCACUUGCCGUGUCCCAUCUUGGAAAAUUCCAAAAACGUUCGGUCAUUCCCAGUUGCCAAAGCAGGUUGGAGCUUUUGAACUCUUCUUCCGCUUUCUACGCACACCCACUACCUCACAACUACAACUUUAUUAGCCAAUCUAAUAUUACAUUUUUAAUUGCUUACCAUGGCCUCUUCCAAUUUUCUCAAGUUUCUACAAAUGGAUUUUUAUUUAGAAAAAAUAAUGAAAAGUGUUUGAAAAUUUUAAGUUUUAAUGAAAAUGAUAAAAAUAUGUUGUAAGUGAAUAUUAUUAAGAUUGACUUUUUAAAAUAAAAAUGUGAUUUUUUAUUAAAAUAAAUAAUACCAGGACUGUUUCGUUAAAACUUCAUUUUUAUUUUCUAAUACUGAUGGAGAAGGAAAAGGAGAGAGUGACAUAAAGAAAAUAUGGAAAUAAUUUCCACAAUUCGUUUUCUAUGUUUGUACACUUCCAAUAUUUUUCAUCACUCGAUUCUCACACCAAAGGAAACAUAAUCAUGAUAUUCCCGCAUCAUUCUUUUUUUUAUUUAUUUAGCCGAAAGCUCGUCCUAGAAACAUAAUAUAACAAAAGUAUCACAAAUACUUAAAACUUCCCACUAAACUAAACAAGAUAACAACAAUAAUAGGGCUAAAUAUAUAGUAUAAAUAUUGAUUCAUCAAUAUACACAAUGAAGUUGCUUUCAUCUAUAAAAUCUAAGAGCUCUUAGAUUUAUUAACAUGCCGAAACAUUUCAACGAGAUGUGGAUCCGAAAAAUGGCCAGCGUUAUUGGAUUGUUGAGCUUGUACGAACGGCAUGUUAUUUGUAUUUACAAGCGUGGGACGAGAUGCUGCACACACGAGAUUCACAACCUGCAUGAUUCCAGCUUGUGAAGGCGCACAGGCGAGUCUUACUUAACAGCAGAAUACCCUGCACCACAGGAUGCUGCAGUGAAAUUAUCAAAUUUCAUUUUUUUCCCUAGUUGCCAACAUCAUUUUAGUCUCCUAGGAGAUGGCACGAUUGGUGAGAAUGAUUUAUGUGGAACAGGUUCACCGUAAACGUGGCAUCCCAGUUUAAUAAUACAAUAUUACAUGACAUUGUCUUAUUGGACCGAGGCGCAAUAGUGACGAUGAAUUCAUUUUAUAUAAGUUGCUCUUAUUGUUGGGUGUCCUUACGCAAAUUUUUCAAGACAAGGUGGAUUUUUAAUCAAAGAUAGUUGUGAUCUACAUCAAUGUUGUGCGGAAGCGCCAAAUAUGAAACCAAUAAUCUAAUACGACAAAAUAUGACAAGACAAAUAAUCCAAAUUGACACAAUGUUUUAUACUGAUUCAGCGUAAGCCUACGUCUAGUUCAGAGACAGCGAAGAAAUUCCACUAAUAGUCAAAAUGGAGAUUACAAAUUUAGUUCAACUCUUAAAUCCCAAAACUCACAUACACCCAAGGUAUUAAAUAUCGAUGAGAUCGGAAAUAUUGGUAAUAAAAAAACACGGAAAUUUCGAUAGAAAUAUCGGGAUAUUAUCGAUAUCAAUAAAAAUUGAAUAAAAACCACGGAAAUUGUAAGAAAAACUUGGAAAUUUUUAUUGAAACUUUGUAAGAUGUUUAUUUAGUCAAUUAUCUAUUAGUUUAUCACAAAAACUUGGAAGGAAAUGCAUUGUAUGAUAGAUAGAACUGAUUUAAGUUGAUUAUAUAACGAGCUGGUAAAUAUUGUGAGUGUAGAAAAUAUGUAGUAAUUAAUUAAAGAAAUUUAAACACACCAUAAUCAUUUAUAUAUAAUGAAUUAUGCAAUAUUUUACACUUUAUACAUUAAAUGGUAAGAUACACGAAUGACUUAGCAAGGUUUAAAAUAUCGAUGAUAUCGGAAAUAUCGGUAGUCCAAAAAUACGAAAAAUUUCGAUUGAAAUAUCAGGAUAUUAUGAAUAUUUUAGACCAUACAUACACCUAAUAGCUCUCACUCGUACAAAGAACAAAUGAAGAAGAUGGAAACACAUACCAAAUCUCAUCUCUCAAAAGCCACAAAACGUAGCAUCAAUAUCUUUGACUGAGUGAUUACAGACAAAGGGAGUUACAAACAAAAGGGGUUACAAACAAAGGGGGGAGAGCAGCAGCCUUCUUCAAAUAGAAGAGUCGAAUGCUCUCUCCUCUGCUCACUUCUUUUCUGCUGCUCUCCUCUACUUAUCUCUCCGCAAGAUCCAGCAAGGAAGAUAAGGUGCACAAUGAUCAACAACAACAACAAAUUUUUUUCCGACUAAAUGGAAUCGGGAAUCAUAAAAAUGUAACUUUUUUUUCUUUUGCCAACCACAAAGUGCCGAAAGAAAAAAAAAUCAACCCUUUCUUUUUUUUCUACAAACAUCAUCAUUAUGCCUCCUCAUCAUGUUCCCACAUCCCCUUUUCUUAUUCUAUUUUUCUUGCUUCUGGCUUCUUUAACAAAUGCAGCAGUUGCUGCCAAUUAAAACAAAGAAUGUGAUAUUCACACAUUCUUUUUUACUUCUUUUAUAUUCUUUUAAUUUUGGAUCGUCGGAUCGGAUGAAUUGAAAAAAAUUAAAUGACAUAAAUUAACAAGAGUUGUGAGAGAAGUAAAAAAAAGUGUGUGGAUAGCACAUCCCUUAAAACAAUAGGAAAACCACCCUGUGGCUUUCACAUGGACCAAAUAAACAAAAGGAAAACCACCAUGUGGAUUUAUUCCUCAUAAUCCAUCAAAUCAGAAAAUUCGUGUCGUUGAAAUUUGAUCAAACGGCUAAAAUUAUUAUAACUUUUUAAAAUGAAUUUUUAUUUAUAACCUUAGAUCAAAUUUCAACUGUAUAAAUUUUCUGAUUUAAUGGAUCAGAAGGAAGGAAGGACCCGUUUCCUUACGGAUAACCUAAUUCAAUAUGAGCCAAUCGCUGCCUUAUCACAUCAUUGAAUCCAAUUGCUGCCUUAUCACAUCAUAAUUCAAUAUGAGCCAAUCGCUGCCUUAUCACAUCACUUUCAUAGUUUAAUUCACCUUGCAAUCCAGAAAGUAGUCUGCAACGGAUUCGGAUCCCAUCCGGAUUCAAAAUGUGGAAAUGUCUUAAUCAUUAAUCAAUCAGAAAUUAUUUGACUUGUUAUUUUAAAUUAAACACAAAUAGUAUUUGACGAAAACUAACGUAUGAAUGAACGGUUAGGAUGUGAGGAAGUGUAUAAUUCCCACCAAAUGGAUCUAGAGAGGAUCCUCUUCUGUCUGCAACCUAACCAGAAAUACAUCACACAGAAUUCAAAAAUGUUCAAAAUUUCAUAUAAUUGAGCAAAUAUUCAUCAAUUAUAGAUGCUUUGUCUGCCAGACAAGGGCAGGAUACAGAAUGGCAGAACAGAUUAUAUGCUUUGUGAUCGACAAGUUAAUUCAACUACUCAUCACCACAGAAGCAAACCUUUCGAGAAAUGCAAGUACUGAAGUUGGUUUCAUCAAAGAUGAACUCGAGAGCAUCCGAUCAUUCCUCAAGGAAGCAGAUGCUAAGGCUGCAGCAGCAGACGGAGAGACGGGGAAUGAUGGUGUCAAAACUUGGGUCAAUCAAGUAAGAGAAGCAGCUUUUUAUAUUGAAGAUGUGAUUGAUGAAUAUUUGCUCCGCAUCUUACAGCAUCAUCAACACCAUGCAUUCCUUCGUUCUUUCCACAAAAUUAUCCGGUUGGCUAAAAAAUUGAGAUCACAGGAUGGGAUAGUUUUGAAAGUUGACGGUAUAAAAGAAUUGGUUCGUGGAAUCAAGGAGAGAAGUGAAAGAUAUGGAUUCAAAUCCCUUGAUCAGCAAGGCCAGAGCAGUGGAGAAAACAACGACCCUCGAGUGGCUUCCCUUUUCAUUGAGCAAGCUGAAAUCGUGGGGAUUGAAUCUACCAGAGAUGAGCUGACUGGUUUGUUGGUAGAAGAAGCACCAAGACGUAAAGUGAUAUCAGUGGUUGGCAUGGGAGGACUUGGGAAAACCACUCUUGCCAAGAAAGUAUAUGACCAGCCGAAGGUGAUGGCACACUUUGAUUGCUAUGCUUGGAUUACGGUGUCCCAAUCGUACAGGGUUGAGGAUCUUCUGAGGACGGUAAUAAAAAAGUUCUACAUUUCAAGGAAGGAGCUUUUCCCAGAGGAAAUCGACACAAUGGAUGAGGAGUCCCUGAUUAGCACAGCAAGAGAGUAUUUGCAGCAAAAGAGGUACGUUGUUGUGUUUGAUGAUGUGUGGAAAGUAGAUUUUUGGGGGGCUAUAGAACAUGCUUUACCCGAUAAUAAAGGCGGACGAAUAAUUAUCACUACACGGAUUCAAGGUGUUGCCAACUUUUGCAGAAGAUCUUGUUUUGUUCAUGUUCAUCACUUGCAGCAUCUGCCUCCAAACAAGGCAUGGGAAUUGUUUUGCAGAAAGGCAUUUCAGUUUGAAUUGGAGGGAAAGUGUCCUGAAGAUUUGGAAGAGUUGUCUCUUAACAUCGUCAAAAGAUGCGAAGGACUACCUUUGGCAAUUGUUUCCAUAGCUGGUCUGCUGUCAACCAAAGCUAAAGUUGUGUCUGAAUGGCAGAAGUUAUACAAUAGCUUAAGUUCAGAGUUAGAAAGCAAUCCCCACCUUACAAGCCUCACAAGAAUCAUAUCCCUCAGCUAUCACCAUCUGCCGUAUUACCUCAAAUCGUGUGUAUUAUACUUUGGCAUCUUUCCCGAGGAUUACUCAGUUAGUUGCAUAAGAUUAGUUCGGUUGUGGAUCGCUGAAGGUUUUGUGAAACCGAAGAGGGGCAAGACACUAGAAGAGGUUGGAGAGGAAUACUUGAUGGAGCUAAUUCACAGAAGCCUGGUUCAAGUUUCAGAAGUUUACAUUGAUGGAAAAGCUCGAGGUUGUAGAGUUCAUGAUCUAUUGCAUGACGUCCUCCUUAAGAAGGGGUUGGAUUCGAGCUUCUGUCAUGUGUUAUCAAAAGACGAGUCAACUUUUAAACCAACAACUCGACGUCUCUCAAUGGACAUCAGUCCUUCUGAGGCCGUGGGAAGCUUUACACAAUCUCAUAUUCGUUCUGUAUUUACUUUCAACCUAGAAGAAUGGCCUGGGUCUUUUCUCGAUACAUUGAGUGGAAACAUUAAACUUCUGAAAGUAUUGGAUUUCACAGAUGCUCCAAUCAAUCAACUUCCGAAAUAUGUGGGGGAUUUGUAUCUCUUGACGUAUUUAAGCUUGAGGAAUACAAGGGUGGAGUUGCUUCCAGACUUCAUAGGCAAUCUACAAAACUUGGAAACCUUGGAUCUAAAACAGUCUUUGGUGUAUGAAAUACCAGCCAAGAUCAAUAAGCUUGUUAAGCUGCGGCAUCUUUUGGCCUACCAUCGUGACUACAACUACGACGUGGGUUUGUAUUGGAAUUUGGAAAGAGGAGUGAAGAUACAUGAAGGUAUUGGAUGCUUACAAGCUUUGCAAAAUUGUCCUAUGUGGAGGCGAAUCAUGGAGGGAUCAGGUUAAUCAAAGAAUUGGGAAAGUUACGACAGCUACGGAAGUUAGGCCUAAAAAACUUGAAAAGUGAAGAUGGAAGGGCUGUGUGUGCUUCUAUUGAAAAGAUGAACCACCUUGAAUCUCUAAUUUUAACUGCAAUAAAUGAAGAUGAAGUCCUUGAUCUAGAAUCCAUUUCAACUCCACCACAAUUUAUUCGUGCUCUCUUCUUGAUAGGGCGUUUAGAGCAGUUGCCAGGUUGGAUUUCAAAUCUUCAACACCUCGUCAGAUUGGUGAUUUGUUGGUCAAGGUUGAGAGAUUCCCCACUAAAAGCCCUUCAAAAUCUACCUAAUCUGUUGGAGCUAACUUUGGAUAUCAAUGCAUAUGAUGGUGUGCAGCUGCAUUUUGAGGAAGGAGGAUUUCAUAAACUUAGAAAGCUACAUCUCAGGGAAAUGAUGGGACUAAAUUCGUUGAUCAUAGACGAUGGUGUCAUGCCUCUUCUCCAAGAGUUUCGCAUUGGGCCUUCCCCACAAAUGAAUGAGGUACCCUCUGGCAUCCACCAUCUCCGGAAUCUGACAUAUCUUCAUUUCUAUGACAUGCCAAAGGAGUUUGCGCGACAGAUGGAUCCAAAAAAUGGCCAACAUUAUUGGAUUGUUGAACAUAUACAAAAUGUUCGUUUUAGUUACAAGGUCGGACCAAGAUGGCGUGUAUAUGAAAUUCACGCCCUGCGUGAUUCCAACUUUUCUCUUUGGUGGAAUGCUUGAUUCCAACUUGUGAAACCAAGCAUGGGAAUGGGAUAUGCUUUGGUUAAGAGUUGGUUGUUAGCUCUGGUAUCCUAGUUUCUCUUGCAGGUUGACUGGGAGGGGCUCUUUCUCUUCUGUUUUCUUUGUGUCGUCCAAUCGUAUUCCUAGCAUUUUCCUUGUAAUUUUAUUGGUGGUUGCAAUAAAAAUAUCCUAUCCAAUUGAUUUUCUCUAGGAAAAUGAUAAACCGUAUGCUCCUUUUAACCUCACUUUGAUAAUUGAAGUUAAAAUAUUAAAUUUUUACUAUUUUUGAUCUUACCAAUUCUUUACUAUUUUAUAUUCUUUAUAUUAAUUUGUAAUCUCUAACAUAUUUUGUUAAUCAAAGGGUAGAUUUUGUGGAUUAUAGAAAUUUCAUGAAUCAUGAUUGUUUUUUUUUAUUUGCCAAAAAAUUCAUGAAUCAUGAUUGAGCAUUCUCCUUUUGUAUGUCACACAUAUUGAUCCAGCCACAUAUUUUUUGUAUGCACAAUAAUGAAAAUGUGUUAAGCGUUUAACGGUGUAAAUUCAAACUCCGUCGAUAACUAACGUAACAAAAUUUAUCGACAGACAAAAAAAAUAAAAAUUAGGUACAAGAUGUAAAGGUGAGGGCCCACAAAUGCAAGCGUUGGGGAUAGCGGAGUGGAUCCCACGAUUUCAAAAUUAUGGACAGGAGGAACAUUUCUCUCAAACUUGGGCGCUAAAAAAAGUCGUCGUCGUUUUUCCUUUUCUGGCUGAGUUUGCCUUCUUAAACCAACCCGACAUUCUCGGCCCAAACAAAUGUUCAAACCUUUCCGUUACUUCCCUUCACAAAUUUCCAAUUAGGGUUUCACAUUAACCUUGAUCAGAACUUCUACGUACAUAUAUAUACAUAUAUAUAUUUAUAUAUAAUCUCUCUCUCCCUCUGUUUCUGAAUUUUGAUUUCCCGGGAAGGUUUCAAACCCGAUCGUUUCUUCGAAAGUCUCUGAAAGCUUUUCGACAAAACAAAAAUCCAAAAUCUUUGUGAUAUCAAAAAGGAAAUAAAUUUCAAAACGCGCAUGGAAUUGGCUGGUUCAUUUGCCUGAAAGUUGGUUCAGAUAGAGAUGGAGGGAGGGGCGAGAGAGAUGGACGAAGAAUUGCUGGAGUUCGCGAGGGAGGCUUUCGAGGGGGAUGAAAUUGACAUGGACUACGAAUUGAUGCGCCAAAGGUUCUACGAUUUCACUAGGCCGGAAUCCUAUUGGGAGGCGGAGGAGGCGGAGGAAUGGUUCCGGUCCGCCGGAGGCUAUCACCCCACGCGUAAGCGAUUUCCAGAACAUUUGUUUGUUGGUUUCUUAUCAUUGAUAGACAUAUAUUGUGUGGCUGAGAUACUGCCACUUGUAUGCAGAUUAGAGAGUUAGUUAGAAAGUUAGUUAGGUAGUUUGUUUAGAAUAUUGAAAAGGGUAUAAAUACUGAUGUAUGUGGGAUUGCUUAGUAAGUAAGAAAAGUAAUAUACUGGAAGUGUUUGGUUUCUACUUCUCUCUCUAAAUUGCUUGAAUCUCUUCUUCUUCUCACUAUAUUUCUGUAGUUUAAUAUGGUAUCACUCGCCAUUAGAGCUUGAUCAGCUUCUUCGAUCCGAGUCUUCCGCAGCUCCAACACUUCGUCUUCCUCUGAAUUCUUGCUUCUUGUACGCAUUUCUUGAUUGCUUUGACUUCGUCUUCUCUGCUUUCUAGGGUUUAUUGUUUCUGGGUGCUCUGCAACUACGAUCUGGUUGCGUCUUCGUCUUCUUCUAAUAUUGCACUCCAGGUGUUUGAUCCAUUGUUUCAGUGAGUUUCGGCAACGAUGGUAACAGCUUCUCAACUUCAGCUUCUUCAAUCUCCGAUCACUGCUCUAGUUUCGUCGAUUUCUACAUCUGUGAAUGUGAAGUUGGAUGAUUCGAAUUAUCUCACUUGGCAUUUUCAAAUGCAAUUACUGCUUGAGAGUAAUGGAAUUCUAGGGUUUGUCGACGGCACGCAUCCCUGUCCUCCUCGACAUUCCUCACCAUCUGGAGAUUCUGGUGUUAAUUCCUCAAAUUCAACAACUUCUUCUGCUAGUGAUGAGUAUUUGAUUUGGAUAAUGCAUGAUAAAGCCCUGAUGCAGUUACUGACUGCUUCUUUGAGUCCAAUGGCUCUGUCGUGUGCUAUUGGUAGUACAAGCUCUCGGGAUCUCUGGAUUCGAUUGCAAGAACAAUUCUCCACAGUCUCCAAGACUAGCAUAUUUCAGAUGAAGUCUAAUCUUCAAACCAUUAAAAAGGGAUCUGAUUCUGUUGCUCAAUAUUUACAGAAAAUCAAAGAGGCCAGAGAUUAUCUUUCAGCUGCUGGGGUGUAUUUUGUUGAUGAAGAUAUUGUCAUUCUUGCGUUGAAUGGUUUGCCACCAGAGUAUAAUACAUUCAGAACAGUAAUAAGGGGACGUGAGAAUGUUAUAUCUCUGAAGGAGUUUAGGACACAAUUACUUGCUGAAGAAGCUAUUCUGGAAUCCACUGUUAAUGCACCUUUUAUGACUGCAAUGGUUGCUCAUAAUUUACCUCCGAGAGCACCUACUCAAUCCAAUUUUGUGGCUGGUGGUUUCAAGCAAUUCAAUGCUCCCAAAAACAAGGGGAAGGGCCGGUUUCAUCAAAAUAACAGGACUUUUUCAUCCAAGCCGUAUCUUCCUACUCAAACUCAUGUUCUCCAAAAUCCAAGUCCUGGUGUUCUUGGUUCUUUUCCUCAUCAGCAGCACUCCCCUCCUUCUGCUCCACAUCUCCUCUUAUGUCAACUUUGCAAUUGUGGUGGUCAUUCUGCGCCUUUCUGUCCAUCCAAUUCUUCUGCGAAAUCCCGAUGUCAGAUUUGUGGCAGGUUUAAUCACAGUACAUGGUUCUGUUUUUACAAUGACAAGGGUCCCAACUAUAUUGGUGCUGGCAAUGGUUCUUAUCCACAACCAGGGCAUCCAUAUUCUCAGCAGGCUUCUUAUUCACAGCAAGGGUAUUCAUCACAGUUUCCUGCUCCACAACAAAUUCAGUCUCAGGCACCAAUGCAGGCUUUUCAUACUAUGGUGCCACAACCCUCUCCUCCAGCAGCAUCUUCAUCUCCUUCCCAAGUUUGGAUCACUGAUUUCGGGGCAACGAAUCAUAUGACUGCUGAUCUUUCCAAUCUGUCUCUAGCUUUACCCUAUCCCACUAAUGAAGUCAUACAAACUGCCAAUGGUGAAGGUUUGCCUGUAUCUCACAUUGGUAGUACUGUUAUAAAACCAUCUCUCCAUCCUAUAAAAUUGAAUUCUGUGUUAUAUGUUCCCAAAUUAACACAGAAUCUUCUAUCUGUCCAUCGCAUAUGUUUGGAUAAUAAUUGUUGGCUUAUCUUUGAUGCCUUCUGUUUUUGGAUCCAGGACAAGGCCACAGGGAGGGUACUCUAUAAAAGAUUGUGCAGUAAUGGACUCUACCCACUCUCAUCUCUAGCCAAUGUGUCACCUGCUGGUUCUCAAAGCAUUGCUUCAAAUAAAGCCCUCCUUGGUCAGUUGGUUACUUCUUCUACUACCUGGCACAAUAGAUUAGGACAUCCAUCUAAUUCAGUUGUCUCUCUUAUGUUGCAUAAGUCCAAAGUUGCUUUUGCAAAAGACCCAAAUCCUGUUCUGUGUCCUAGUUGUCUUGAGGGUAAAUUCUGUAAACUUCCAUUUGCAUUAAGUGUCAAUAAAUCUGUAACUCCUUUUGAUGUAGUGCAUAGUGAUCUUUGGGGUCCUGCACCUUGUAAAUCUGUGGAUGGAUAUCGGUACUAUGUCACCUUCAUUGAUGAAUGUACCCGGUAUUCCUGGAUUUUCCCAUUGAUGAAUAAAUCCGAUCUUUGUGCCACUUUUAUUGCUUUUCAUGCUUAUGUUCUCACUCAAUUCUCUGCAAACAUUAAAAUUUUGCAAAGUGAUGGUGGUGGUGAGUACAUUAGCAAGUCACUUCAAUCUUUUCUUCUCCAAAAGGGCAUUUCUCAUCAAAAAUCCUGUCCUUAUACCCCUGAACAAAAUGGGAUGGCUGAACGUAAACACAGACACGUUAUUGAAACCACAAUUACUUUGUUGCAAACAGCUAAACUGCCUUCCCAGUUUUUGGUCCUUUGCAUGUCAAACUGCCAUUUAUCUCAUUAAUAGAAUGCCUACUCCCAUUCUCCAUAACCAGUCUCCUUUUGAAGCCUUAUAUGGUGCUGUUCCAGUGAUUCAUCACUUGCGAACGUUUGGUUGUGCUUGUUAUCAUUUCUUAAGACCUUACAAUGCUACCAAACUUCAAGCUAAGACUACAAAAUGUGUGUUUUUGGGAUAUGCAUCCAAAUUCAAGGGCUUCAUUUGUUUUGCAGUUUCUACACAUAAAUUCUUUGUGUCUAGACAUGUGGUAUUUAGUGAACAUGAGUUUCCUUAUAAUGACUUGUUGUCCCGAGCCACCACACCACAAUCUCCUACUUCUGUUCACAUUACUGACCUGUCAUCUCUUCCUGUCGUCCCCUCACAGCCUAUAGUCACUAUACCCUCCUCUCAUACUCCUAUUUCUCCUGAGUCUCCAUUACAUUCCCCUUCUGCUCCCGGGUCUUCAUCCUUCUCACCAACCACGUCUCAGUUUCUUGACCCACCACCCUCUCAUCAGUCCAUUACUGGUGCAGUUUCACCCACUGAUCACAACCCUGUGGUACUUGAACAUAGUCCUGUUACACUACAAGUGGUUCCUUCCAUUCCCUCCUUGAAUAUACACCCUAUGCAGACUAGGAGUAAGAGUGGUAUCAGCAAAAAGAAGGUUCUUUUGUCUGCUCUUGCUACUUCCAUGGAUGCUGAUUUGUCUAUGUGUGAACCCAAAACAUACAAAUCUGCUCUCAAGAGUCCUGUGUGGUUUCAAGCAAUGAAGGAAGAGAUCAGUGCUUUGCAUACUCAAGGAACAUGGAGUUUAGUUCCUUUACCUGCAAACAAGAAUUUAGUAGGGUGUAAAUGGAUUUUCAAACUCAAGAGACAUUCAGAUGGUUCAAUUGCACGCCAUAAAGCUCGAUUGGUUGCCAAGGGAUUUAGUCAAGAACCUGGGCUGGAUUACAGUGAGACCUUUAGUCCAGUUGUUAAACCCACCACAGUGAGGAUUGUUUUAGCACUUGCUGCUCACUUUAAUUGGUCACUUCGGCAACUAGAUGUCAAGAAUGCGUUUCUCCAUGGCAUAUUACAGGAUGAGGUGUAUAUGGAUCAGCCACCUGGCUUUGAGGAUCCCCAGAAUCCUACUUUGGUAUGUCAAUUGCAUAAGUCCCUAUAUGGCUUAAAACAGGCCCCGAGGGCAUGGAAUGACAGGUUUACUUCUUUUCUGCCUAAGUUGGGCUUCCAUAACACCUAUUCUGAUUCCUCCUUAUUUGUGAAACCUGUUGGUGCCAAUAUUGUGAUCUUAUUGCUAUAUGUCGAUGAUAUUAUCAUCACAGGAAGUGCAAUCACUGAGAUUCAGCAGGUCAUUGAUGCUUUAACUUCUGAAUUUGACAUCAAGGACUUAGGUCCUCUUCACUACUUCCUUGGCAUUCAGAUUUCCAAGACUGCCAAGGGGUUAUUUUUGUCCCAACAGAAAUAUGUACAGGAUCUCCUUGUCAAAACAGAAAUGCUUGACUCCAAGCCUUGUGACACACCCUGCUUACCUUCUACCAGGUUACUCAAGGAUGAUGGUGACCCUUAUCCUAAUCCUACUUUAUAUAGGAGUGUGGUGGGUGCUCUUCAAUAUCUAACGUUCACACGCCCUGAUAUAGCUUUCUCUGUGCAUCAAGUCUGUCAGUUUAUGCAAUAUCCUAUGGUCUCUCAUUUCACUGCAGUUAAAAGGAUCCUUCGGUAUUUGAAGGGCACUAUGUCCUGUGGCAUUACCUAUUCUCAAGGGGACUUGGCACUAUCUGCAUUUAGUGAUGCCGAUUGGGCUGGAGAUCCCAAUGAUCGGCGAUCUACAACAGGGUCUGUGGUGUUCCUCGGGCAUAAUCCUAUCUCAUGGUCCUCUAAGAAACAGCAGACAGUGUCCCGAUCUUCGACUGAGGCAGAGUAUCGUGCUUUAUCCUCCACUGCAGCAGAACUUGAUUGGAUUCAACAAAUCCUUGCUUUUCUGCAUUUUCCGAUGUCUGCUCCUCCUGUUUUAUACUGUGACAACCUUUCUGCUAUAGCCUUGUCUUUCAAUCCUGUCCAACAUCAACGGACCAAACACAUUGAAAUUGAUGUGCAUUUUGUUCGAGAGCGGGUUUCUCAGAACAAGCUUGUGGUGCAGUUUGUGUCCUCCAAGGAGCAGUUGCUGAUAUCUUGACCAAAGGCCUCAGUUCUUCAUUGUUCCUUUUUCAUUGUAACAAUCUCAUGUUAGGAUCAUCCAAACAUGAGCUUGAGGGAGGAUGAUAGACAUAUAUUGUGUGGCUGAGAUAUUGCCACUUGUAUGCAGAUUAGAGAGUUAGUUAGAAAGUUAGUUAGGUAGUUUGUUUAGAAUAUUGAAAAGGGUAUAAAUACUGAUGUAUGUGGGAUUGCUUAGUAAGUAAGAAAAGUAAUAUACUGGAAGUGUUUGGUUUCUACUUCUCUCUCUAAAUUGCUUGAAUCUCUUCUUCUUCUCACUAUAUUUAUGUAGUUUAAUAAUCAUGUCCCAAAAACAAUGAAUUUUGGAUCAUCUCCUAUGAUUACCACAUUAAUUAAUGAUCGUUUUCUGCUAAUAAAUUUCAACAUCUACAUGUUUAGUUCAUGCAUUUUAAAUAUGUUACGUUGUUUUAUAUGAACAGAUUAGAGAUUAAUUGAAUUAUAAAUAAUGUAAUUUGAUUAGAUUAAUUUGUUACCACUAACUUUGUAUUUUCUUUGUUUAAUUUGUUUCAAAUCCUUUAGCCUUCCUUGAAAAAUUGUUGAAUUGGCAAAAAGAGAAUCAUCCAGUACCUGUAAAAACCUCUGCGGAAUCGAAAGAUGUUGAAGUUACUAGAUGCAGUACCUUGAAAAAUUGCAUGGAAACGGAGAUCUCUGCAUUCGUAGACGAUAAUGACAAAGGUACAUUCGGCCUCAUCGACUCAUGUCUUAUUAGAUUUUCGACGCAAUGUGAUAGUUCGUUGUAAAAUUACCGCACUUGGAAAAUUUUAUGUCUGUUAUCUGAAUCGACUUUGCCUGAAUUAGUACAUGAAGUUGUAUCUCACUGUUAUGUUUUAUGUUCAUGUUUCGACAUGAUUAGAGUUUUCUAAUCACAUGGCUCAAGACACUCUGAAAACCAAACUGAAGUCCUCGGGUAAGUCACCACAUCUAUUAAGGAGUUCAACGUUAAUGAAAUUCACGGCGAGUCAGUUGGCCAAGCAAAAUCAGCACCGAGAGGUUCACUCCAAUCGGUUAUUAAGGAGGUGCUGUUAUUUUUCUCUGAUGUUUCUGUUGUCAUUAAUGUAUGUUUUGUUCUAAUUGUUUGGUGGUCUAGUUUUCUAACUUGUCCCAUUUUCCGACUCUUGAUUACAGAGUUGCGAAAAAGCUCGAGAAACUCGAUGAGAAAUCACAGAAUUCUCCGCCACCUACGAUGGGCUGCGAAAAUUCGAAGCAAUGUAGCAUAGCACUUUGCAAAUUCGGUAGUGCUAUCACACGUGCAUUCUUACUUCUCACUAACCCCUCUCAAUUUUUCGGCCAUUGGAAAAAUAAGUGUGUAAAUAACACUAUCCUACAAAUUACGCAACCGAAACUAUAACAGAAGAGCGAUUAUAACGUAUUAAAGUACCAUCUCACUAAAUUAUCCAACAAUGUUUCAGAGAUUAGGAACAAUCAUACUACUUUCAGCUCAGUCAUUCCAUCAAACGGCUGGUUCGCUGCAAUUCCACUUAUGCUCAAAUCACUACCGUCCGUUCCUACCAUCGAUUCCAUCAAAUUCUCCGAAACCCAUUUCUCAAUCAAAUCCAAACACAGCUGCAACCACACCCAGAAAAUUAAAAAGUCGAACUUUACAAAACUCCACUCCGAAAACAUAAAUUACACAAAACCCAACAAAAUCUCACCCUGUUCUCGGACAAUCCGACUUGAAUAACCCCAUCCGGAUUAUCCACCCUCUCGUACGGGUCCUCCGAAGCCCUAUCCAACCCGAUAUAGUACGGCGAGUCAUUGGGCUUCGCAAUCCAGCUCGCCCGGGAGGACAUCCGGACCCGGCCCAUGGACCCGCGGGUGGACAAGCUGGACCGCGACAGCGUUCUGGGGAGCUCCGCCAGGUUGGAGGAGGACUGGGAGGGGGAAGGUGGAUCGGGUUUGGAGGGUCGCCGUCGUUUUAGGUAGAGCUGGAGGCAGUAAUAGAGAGCACAUGGGAUUAGAGAGGCGAGGAUGAGGCCGCCUCUGCCUUGGACGACGCCUUGGAGUGGCACAAUCAGUCUCAUCGCGGUGACUCCGGUGGGCUUGUUUCGGGUUGGGUCGGAGUCGGGUUGGCCGGUCCAGGUCUCGAGCUGCAGUGGGAGGGUUUCGGGUUGGCCGUUGGUUGGCGUGGAGGGAUUGAGUGAGAUUCGAGAGCCCUGCGAGGGAAGUGUGUGUUUUGCAGUUUCGCUACCAGAAACUUUUGGUCUGGUUAUGAUUGGCACCUGCCAGUUUCCAUCUUUGCAUCUUUUGUUGGUGGCGUGCAAACACCAUCGUCGUAUAAUAACAAAAAAACGAUUUCAUUCUUUUUGGGGCUAAAGAUGUAAUUUUGAAUCAAAUGCUUUUCUUAUCAUAUUUUUUUAUACCGUAACCGUUAUCUAAUAAAGAUAAGAUACAUAUGUGUGUAGACCUUACUUUUAUUAGAGAAAUUGAGAAUUUUUACUGUGCUCAAAACAAUAGUUGUACCAUAUGUCCUGGUGCAAAUACUAAAUAUUAUUCUGUGUUUCGAGCACAUUAAAAAAUCUCUCGGAUCACAUUGUGUUUGGACCUGAUUUUACACAUCGGCCUAAGCAAUCGAGGCCGUUGAGUAAGCAUGGUUCUCAACCGUUGGAUAAGAAAGUUUAGAUAUUAUUGUUAAGAGAUAAUAUUAUGAUUUUUAAUCAUAAUAAUUAUUUUUUUAAUAAGUUAUCUCGGUUUUUAUGCAAAAUAAAUGGGAUGGAGGCAAGUAGAGUUGUGAUGGGGACGUGAGCUUUGAAUCAGGUUGGUUUGUUUUGCUGGACAUGCAUGCAUGGGAUGUAAAGAUAAUGAAGUGAUAGGGGAUAAAUCCAAACAUGCCAAAACGUGUAAUUUGCAAAAGAAUUGUGCAAUAUGGAGAUUCUAUCCUAAUGCAUGGUUUUUUGGGAUUGGUUUUGUGCACGUGGCAUGCGACAAUGGAGAUGAUGGUUUUGCAUGGUGAUGGCAAUAUGGGUUUAAAGGUUUCUCAUGUUUUUUAAUAAGAAGCCUAGGUGGGUUAGAUCUCUAGUGAGAUGUGAUAAAGCCUAGGUAGGCUUUAUUUAUCUGAAGGAUAUGUGCGGCGUAUUUGAUACGGGAUCAGGGUUUAUCUGAAGGAUAUGCGCAGCGUAUUUGAUACGGGAUCAAGGUCAAUUCCACAAAAUAGAGUUGCAGUUGGACUCUACAAAAUUAUUUGGCCGCGUCACACAACAUUUGCUCCUAUAAAUAUAGAGGUAGUGGCAACGGAAGAAGGACCCCUGCAAAUCAAUACAAAAUUGCCCUGCGCAAAUUCUCACAACUUGUGAUUUUUCUUUUCCCUUUUUUCGCUGACACAUCUUCCGUUGGCAUCAACAGCACUGUGGAAGCAACCGGUGAUAUCUUAAGUCGGCAUAGAUAGCUCUGUCACCGUAGAAUCAGUCGGUCUCGCAAUACUUUCCGUUGGCAUCAACAGCACUGCGGCGAGAACGACCGAUUACCUAUCCAAGUCUCGGUCGAGAAGGAUUUCUGAAUCCUUAUUGGUCGAGGUCAUCUCAUCAGCCUUCUCGGCGAAGUGAGGUGUUACGAGUUAUUACAUUCGGCACAUUGAGGGCCGAAUUUGAUAUUGAACUUCGUGAGAAUAGUAACCUUGUCUUCAGGUUCGAGAGCCCAAGAGGCCGAGACGUGUUCCUUUCUUGGCCGCAAUCGCAAGACGCAGAAGUCAGUAGCGCGACCCAACGCAACAUCAACAAAUUUACUCCUCGGCCGAGCUCGGCCGACGAGUUGGCACGCCCCGCAUUCACCGAAGGACGUAGUUAGCUUAUUAAUUACUCGGCCUGCGCGCCACGUAGGCUUGGUAGUUUUUAGGGUCAACAUUUUGGCACGCCCAGUGGGACCCAGUGCUAAACUACGAAGUUCACAUGAUCUAUCUCGAUCCGGCUUCAAGGGAUGAGUGUUAUCGCCUAUUAAAGGAGCAAAACAACUUCUCGAGAGUUUGAGAAGAAUUUCUGAAAGGCAAGAGGCCGGGGGGCAAAUCUCCACUCCGGCCACAACCAAUAUUCAGCCUAAGAAAAGUGAUAAUUUGGCCGAAGAACAAAGGCCACUUGUUGUUUCGGUAGAGACUGAAAAUAUAGUAGGCCUAGAAGAAAAAAUUCAAGUCCCUAAGCUAUAUACAAAAAUUGACUUGGAAAAAGAUUCGUCAAAAGAACGCUCCAGUGACGAACGAGGCCGAGAUAUUGGCCUAGCCCGAGAAACUACGCCAAUUGAUAUGAUUAUUGGCAAUAAAGCCGAUAUGGAGAAAUCCUGUUCGGCUAAGUUAUUUGAAUUAAAAGCCGAAAUUAUGCCUGGGGGGCAUAAUAAUUGUUCAGCGCAUUCGGCGGCCGAUAAAAAAUCUUUCGUCAAGUCAAACAUAUUUGGAGAUAGUAUUUUAUUCGGCCUUGCAAAAAUUCAAAGUGAAAGUUUUGAUACAAAAAGCCUUCGGCUUGGAAUAAAACAUCGUUGGCCUCCUCCAUUUAUAGUAGGGCCACUUUUGUUUUCUUUUGCUACAAAAUAAGAAUAAAUUAUUUUCUUAACCAUUCGGCUUUUUAGGCCGAUGCUUAAGAAAAUAAAGGGGGCAAUAAGAUGGUGCGGACUUAGAAAAACAAGAAAAAACAAGAUGGUGUACUCGGCAGACAAUUUUGGUCAAAUAAUGGUGUACUCGGCAGACAGUUUUGGUCGAAUGAAUUUGCGAGAGCAUGCAUGACAAUUGCUCGGCAGACAGUUUUGGUCAAAUGAAUUUAUGGGAGCAUGCAUGGUUGCGAAGCUUGCUCAAUUCAGUUUCGAUGUGCGGUUUAAUAUAUAUAUGUGUGUGUCAGAAUGACCCAUCACAUGAAACAGAAAGAGAGACGCAUACGGAAAAGACAAAGGAAAAUUCAUGAAGUUAUGGUAGGCUUCCACAUGGGCUAACCUUUUCGUUUGGUGAUGUAGUGAUCUGUGAAUUCCUAACAGCAUUAUUUGGCCGAAUACAAAUCUUUGGCCGAAUAAAACAUAGUUCGGCCGAAUAUAAUGGGUUAUAUAUAUAUAUAUAUAUAUAUAUAUAUAUAUAUAUAUAUAUAUAUAUAUAGGCUCUACAGCCAGUUCUUCUCGGUCUCAGCCCUAUUUACUCUCGACCCCAGUAUUUUUGACCGAUACUAGUGUUUUCUCGACCCCGGCAGUUGAGAGUUGGAGUAGUUCACGACACUGGCAGAGGGAGGUUAUGACAUUGGCAGAACAUAGGUGAUUUUAAUGCCGAGAGACAAAAUUUGUUUCGGCAAUACGACGAAGUGUUGUUGGCUACGAGCAAUUAAUUUCCUUAACCAUUCGGCUUACGAGCCGAAGCUCACGGAAACUAGGGGGCAAUGUUUGGACCUGAUUUUACACAUCGGCCUAAGCAAUCGAGGCCGUUGAGUAAGCAUGGUUCUCAACCGUUGGAUAAGAAAGUUUAGAUAUUAUUGUUAAGAGAUAAUAUUAUGAUUUUUAAUCAUAAUAAUUAUUUUUUUAAUAAGUUAUCUCGGUUUUUUAUGCAAAAUAAAUGGGAUGGAGGCAAGUAGAGUUGUGAUGGGGACGUGAGCUUUGAAUCAGGUUGGUUUGUUUUGCUGGACAUGCAUGCAUGGGAUGUAAAGAUAAUGAAGUGAUAGGGGAUAAAUCCAAACAUGCCAAAACGUGUAAUUUGCAAAAGAAUUGUGCAAUAUGGAGAUUCUAUCCUAAUGCAUGGUUUUUUGGGAUUGGUUUUGUGCACGUGGCAUGCGACAAUGGAGAUGAUGGUUUUGCAUGGUGAUGGCAAUAUGGGUUUAAAGGCUUCUCAUGUUUUUUAAUAAGAAGCCUAGGUGGGUUAUAUCUCUAGUGAGAUGUGAUAAAGCCUAGGUAGGCUUUAUUUAUCUGAAGGAUAUGUGCGGCGUAUUUGAUACGGGAUCAGGGUUUAUCUGAAGGAUAUGCGCAGCGUAUUUGAUACGGGAUCAAGGUCAAUUCCACAAAAUAGAGUUGCAGUUGGACUCUACAAAAUUAUUUGGCCGCGUCACACAACAUUUGCUCCUAUAAAUACAGAGGUAGUGGCAACGGAAGAAGGACCCCUGCAAAUCAAUACAAAAUUGCCCUGCGCAAAUUCUCACAACUUGUGAUUUUUCUUUUCCCUUUUUUCGCUGACACAUCUUCCGUUGGCAUCAACAGCACUGUGGAAGCAACCGGUGAUAUCUUAAGUCGGCAUAGAUAGCUCUGUCACCGUAGAAUCAGUCGGUCUCGCAAUACCUUCCAUUGGCAUCAACAGCACUGCGGCGAGAACGACCGAUUACCUAUCCAAGUCUCGGUCGAGAAGGAUUUCUGAAUCCUUAUUGGUCGAGGUCAUCUCAUCAGCCUUCUCGGCGAAGUGAGGUGUUACGAGUUAUUACAUUCGGCACAUUGAGGGCCGAAUUUGAUAUUGAACUUCGUGAGAAUAGUAACCUUGUCUUCAGGUUCGAGAGCCCAAGAGGCCGAGACGUGUUCCUUUCUCGGCCGCAAUCGCAAGACGCAGAAGUCAGUAGCGCGACCCAACGCAACAUCAACAAAUUUACUCCUCGGCCGAGCUCGGCCGACGAGUUGGCACGCCCCGCAUUCACCGAAGGACGUAGUUAGCUUAUUAAUUACUCGGCCUGCGCGCCACGUAGGCUUGGUAGUUUUUAGAGUCAACACAUUGUUAAUAAGCUCUUCAAUUCAAGUUUUCCUUUCUCACGGUAUCGAUAAUAUACCAAUGAAUCCACUUAUAUAUAUAUAUAUGUAUGUAUCUUCCCAAGUAGAGGGUAUAUAUAUAUGUGUGUGUGUGUAUCCUCCCAAGUAUACCAGCACUCCUUAAAUUAUUGAACAUUGAAUCAGAACAAGUCUGCAAUAUGAUGGAUUACACAUGUCAAUGGUUGAGACAAACGCUGACUCAUCACAUCACUCUUGUGUGUGUGUAUCUUCCCAAGUAUACCAUCACUCCAUAAAUGAUUGAACAUUGAAUCAGAACAACUCUGCAAUAUGAUGGAUUACACAUGUCAAUGGUUGAGACAAACGCUGGCUCAUCACAUCACUUUCAUAGAUUAGAGGCAGAUUUUCUGCCCUCCUAUUUGGAUCCCCUUCUCAUUCCAUUCUAUUUUAUGUUGUCACGAUUAAACCACGUCAAUAUUUUAUAUUGAUUUUUUUUAUAGAGAUAAUAAAACAAAAAGCAAUAUGAAUAUAAAAUGUUGACGUAACUUAACUGUGAUCACACAAAUAGAAGGGAAUGAGAAGGGUACCCAAACAGGAGGGCAGGCAACCUGCCUCCUCAUAGAUUCGGUCUCCUUGCAAUCUAGAAAGCCAUCUGCAACCUAAGCAGAAAUAUUCCACCACAAUUUAUUCGUGCUCUCUGUUGAUAGGGCGUUGAUAGGGCGUUUAGAGCAGUUGCCAAGUUGGAUUUCAAAUCUUCAACACCUCGUCAUAUUGGGUAUUUGUUGGUCAAGGUUGAGAGAUUCCCCACUAAAAGCCCUUCAAAAUCUACCUAAUCUGUUGGAGCUAUUUUUGAAAAUCAAUGCAUAUGAUGGUGUGCAGCUGCAUCUUGAGGAAGGAGGAUUUCAGAAGCUGAGGCAUCUGGAACUCAAGGACAUGGAGGGACAAAAUUCAUUGAUCAUAGACAAUGGGGUUAUGCCUCUUCUCCAAGAGUUUCACAUUGGACCUUCCCCACAACUGAAGGAGGUGCCCUCUGGCAUCCACCAUCUCCGAAAGCUGAGAUAUCUUGUUUUCUUUGACAUGCCAAAGGAGUUUGAACGACAUAUGGAUCCAAAUAAUAGACUGCAACAUUGGAUUGUUGAACAUAUACAAGAUGUCCGCUUUAGUUACAAGUUCGGACCAAGAUGGGGGUGUAUACGAAACUCACGCCCGACGUGAUUCCAACUUUUCUUUUUGGUAGAAGAUUCCAACUUGUGAAACCAAGCAUGGGAAUGGAAUGGUCUCUUUUUGUACAGUUUUUGGUUAGAGAGGUUUAGGGGUUGUUAAGAGUUGGUUGUUAGCUCUGGUAUCCUAGUUUCUCUUGCAGGUUGACUGGGAGUGGCUCUUUCUCUUCUGUUUUCUUUGUGUCGUCGAGUCUAGUGAUAUUUCUAGCAUUUUCCUUAUAAACUGUUUUUUUUAUUUAUAAAAAUUGAAAAAUAAAAAGGUAUCUUCUUCUCAAAUUCAGAAUGUUCAAGUGACCUAAUAAAAUUUCAUUGAACUUUAGGCGAAUGAAUCAAGUUUUUACUAGAGAUAAGUGUUAAUCUACAAUGGCUAUUUAUUCAAAAAGUUUUUUAGUAGUUUAAAAUCAUCAAACUAACUUUUUUUUUUGAAUGUGUUAAAAUUGGUUACCUGCAGAUAAUGAGUUCUUAACAUGUGAUUCAAUACCGACCCAAUUAGUUAAUGUGUAGAUUUGAAAUCUAUUAUUUUCGUACCAUUUCGAAUCGAGUUAACAGAUCGUAUAAGAAAUUGUCAGAUCUAACUUAAAUUUGAAAGGCUUGAUGACCGUUGGCAGGCCUACCAAAUAUAAAAUGGUUGUUGUUUGUUUGUUAAUUUAUAAAAACUUAAAAAGAGAGUUGGGUAGGUAUCGUAAUGACGCAAAGCCAGAGGCAACCACCUCUCUAAUUCGAGUUUUCCUUUCUCACUGUACCAACACGAGCAAAUUAAUCCCCUCAUAUAUCAUCGCAACUCCACGGUAUAUAAUAUAGCAACACUCCUUAAAUUAUUGAAAAUUGAAUCAGAACAAGUCCGCAAUAUGAUAUGAUGGAUUACCAAAGUCAAUGGAUGAACCAAACGCUGCCUUAUCACAUCGCUUUCAUAUUUUCAAUCUCCUUGCAAUCCAGAAAGUCCUCUGUAACCUAACCAGAAAUAUUCCACACGGAAGUAUUCAUAUAGAGAUUUUUCUCCAUCAAUUAUAGAUACUGUCUGCCAGAAAAGGCAGGAUACAAAAUGGCAGAAUCAGUUGUAUGCUUUGUGAUCGAUAAGUUAAUUUCACUACUCGUCACCACAGAAGCGAAACUUUCAAGAGACGUGCGUGCUGAAGUUGGUUUUCUCAGAGAUGAACUUGAAAGCAUCCGAUCAUUCCUCAAGGAUGCAGACGCUAAAGCAGCAGCAGCAGCAGCAGAAGGAGACAUGGUGACUGACAGUGCCAAAACUUGGGUCAAACAAGUAAGGGAAGCAGCUUUUUACAUUGAAGAUGUCAUCGAUGAGUAUUUGCUUCGUGUCACAAGGCACCAUCAAGACCGCGGAUUCGUUCGCUUUGUCCACAAAGUUGUUUGGUUUCUGAAGAAAAUGAAACCACAGGAUGAGAUAGCCUCAAAAAUAGAGGGCAUGAGAGCAUUGGUUAGUGAAAUCAAGGCUAGACAUGAAAGAUAUGGGCUUAGUUCAAUUGAUCAGCAAGGUCAAAGCAGUGAAGAAAUUGUUGUUUCGUGGCAUGACCCUCGAGUGGCUUCCCUUUUCAUCGAGGAAGCUGAAGUUGUUGGUGUGGAAUCUGCCAGAGAUGAGCUGAUUAGUUGGUUGGUAGGAAAAGCAUCAAGAGGCGCAUACCGUGAAGUAAUAUCAGUGGUUGGCAUGGGAGGACUUGGUAAGACCACUCUCGCCAAGAAAGUCUAUGACAACCAAAGGGUGAUCGAACACUUCGAUUGCCAUGCUUGGAUUACAGUGUCUCAGACGUACAAGGUGGAGGAUCUUCUGAGGCAGAUGGUAAUGCAAUUCUACAAGGCCAGGAAGGAAUAUACCCCGGAGGGCAUUGACACAAUGGAAAAAGAAUCUUUAAUUAGAAAAUCAAGAGAAUUACUGCAGCAAAAGAGGUACGUGAUUGUGUUUGAUGAUGUAUGGAAAGUAGAAUUUUGGGAGGCGAUAGAACAUGCUUUGCUGGAUAAUAAAGGGGGAAGAAUAGUGAUCACCACGAGGAUUAAAGAUGUUGCUGAUUUUUGCAAAAAGUCUUCUUAUGUUCAUAUUUACCGUUUGCAACCUCUGCCUCCAAUCAAGGCAUGGGAAUUGUUUUGUAGAAGGGCAUUUCAAUACGAAUUGGAGGGGAACUGCCCUGCAGAUUUGAAAGAUUUGUCUCUUGAAUUCGUUAGAAAGUGCGAAGGAUUGCCUUUGGCAAUUGUUUCCAUAGGUGGUCUGCUGUCAACAAAAGUUAAAGUUGUGUCUGAAUGGCAGAAGUUAUACGAUAGCUUAAGUUCAGAGUUAGAAAGCAAUCCCCACCUUACAAGCCUCACAAGAAUUCUAUCCUUCAGCUAUCAUCAUCUACCGUAUCACCUCAAAUCAUGUGUCUUAUACUUUGGCAUCUUUCCCGAGGACUACUCAAUUAGUUGCAUAAGACUAGCUCGGUUGUGGAUCGCUGAAGGCUUUGUGAAACCGAAGAGGGGCAAGACACUAGAAGAGGUUGCAGAGGAAUACUUGACUGAACUGAUACAUAGAAGCCUGGUGCAAGUGUCACAGGUUUGGAUCGAUGGGAAAGCUAAAAGCUGUCGAGUCCAUGAUCUGAUGCGCGAAGUGCUCCUUAGAAAAGCGGUGGAUUCAAAUUUCUGUCAUGUGUUAUCAGAAAAUGAGUCAACAAUAAAGCCAAUAACUCGACGCCUCUUGAUAGACAGCAUGCCCUAUGAUGCCUUGGGAAUAAUUGAACAAUCUCGCAUUCGUUCUUUAUUUACUUUCAACCAAGAACAAUGGCCCGAGUCUUUUCUCAGUACACUGAGUGGAAACUUUAAACUUAUGAAAAUAUUGGAUUUUGGAGAUGCUCCCCUGAAUCAUCUUCCGAAGUAUGUGGGAGAUUUGCAUCUCUUGAAGUACUUAAGCCUAAGGAAUACAAAGGUGAAGUUGCUUCCAGAGUCCAUAUGUAAUCUGCAAAACUUAGAAACACUGGAUUUAAAACAGUCUCUGGUAUAUGAAAUACCAGCCAAGAUCAAUAAGCUUCUAAGGUUGCGACAUCUUUUGGCCCAUUAUACUGACUCCAGCUCAAGGUUCAGGAUGAUCAGUAACGAACGAGGAGUGAAAAUACAUGAUGGUAUUGGAUGCUUACAAGCUUUACAACAGUUAUACCAUGUGGAAACAAAUCAUGGCGGAAUCAACCUAAUCAAAGCAUUGGAAAAGUUGAGGCAGCUGCGAAAGUUGGGCCUGAAAAACUUGAAACGUGAAUAUGGACGAGCUCUAUGUGCUUCGAUUGAAAAGAUGAACCACCUUGAAUCUCUAGAAGUAAGCACAAUAAGCGAAGAUGAAGUCCUUGACCUGCAAUCCAUUUCAACUCCACCCGAAUCUAUUCGGUUUCUCUACUUGAAGGGGCCUCUAGAGAAGUUGCCAAGUUGGAUUCCAAAGCUUCAACGACUUGUCAGGCUACGAAUUUUUUGGUCAAGGUUGACAGAUGCCCCACUGAAAGCUCUUCAAAACCUUCCUAAUUUGGUAGAGCUUGGGUUCUCAUUCAACGCAUAUGAUGGUGUGCAACUGCAUUUUGAGGGAGGCUUUAAGGAACUCAGGGUGUUAAAACUCAAGCACUUGCCCAGACUAAACUCAUUGAUCAUAGACAAUGGGGCUAUGCCUCUUCUCCGAGAGCUACAAAUUGGGCCUUCCCCACAACUGAAGGAGGUGCCCUCUGGCAUCCAGCACCUGAGAAAUCUAAGCUCUCUUAGAUUUGUUGACAUGCCAAAAGAGUUCCGACAACAUGGAUCCAAAUAAUGGCCAACAUUAUUGGAUUGUCGAACAUAUACAAGAUGUUCUUUUUAGUUACAAGUUGGGACAAAGAUGCGAUGUAUAUGAAACUCACGCCCUGCGUGAUUCCAACCUGUGAAAGCAUAUCUACAUGUGAGUUUUAAUCCCAGAACACCCCAUAUAACUCGCAAGGCUUAAAUGAAAUCGCCAAAUGUCAUUGUUGACACGAUCUGUGAUAUUCUUUAGUAUUAUCAACUGUUAUAGAUGUUUGCUUUGUAUGAAAACAAAAAAUAAAAACUUCAUUCAUGUUUGUGAGGAUUUGAUUGUGUUUGAGCAGGCAACAUUGAUUAUUUCUCACAACCCAGACAAGUGUUUGGCUAAUUAUUUCUCACACUAUCUAAUCAAAUGAAGGGCUAGGAGUUUCAGUUUGAGUGACGGUCCUAAAUCAUUUCUUUCGUUCCAGACAUGUUUCUGAAUUUGAAGCAUUAAACUUUUACUCAGCACACAAGCAUUGUGCGUAAGAUUUUUUUCAGUUGAAAGGCUUCACGGCAAGCCUACCACAGGUCUCCGAGGAUAAUCAUAGGAAACUUGCGAGGUUGAAUAUCAUUUGCAACCCAGCUAGCAGAAACAAAAGAGUCCCUUCUCCAGUACCAAGCUUAGCUAGAAGUCGAGGUUUUUGCCACAUGAAUUAAUUACGUAAAAUGAAACAAAUUAAAACUGAAUUAUGCUUGGUUAGUGAUGGAUGGCAGAUUCAAAUCAAAGAGAAGCAGUUAUAUAUGUUAAUGGAAGAUCAGAGCAAAACGCAUGGCUUAAACUUCAUUGUUUUACAUCUGCAACCGUAUCAGAAAGAACACAAAAGUAAGCAUACAUAAAGUGUGUUAAUACCUGAUUGAAUAAGUUAAUGAAAAAGUAGCAGAAGCAGUUGUAUUCUUUGUGAUUGAUAAGUCUCUACUCAUCUACUGUACAGAAGCAAAACUUCCAAGAGAUGUAUGAUAGAGAUUUUAACACAUGUUCAGGAAUUGGUAUAAACAAUUUACGAGUUUUUGAAUUAUUUAACUUAAUUAGCUCUAAGAACUAUGUUGGAGCAGUUAUGUUUUUAUUUAAUAUAUGUAUAUAUAUAUAUUUAUGAUUUGUUUUAUUAGAAACAUUAAAUAUAUAUAACUGUUAUUAGGAGUAAUUUUUAUUUGUAAAUAUAUUGGAGACAUUGUCAAUUAGGAGUAAUUUCCCUUCUUAAUUAUAUAGGAGACGUGAGGAAGUUUAUUACUUCAACAAAUUUGAUAUGCCUUCUCUAAAUAGAGUAGAAGAUCACGUCCACCUCCAUAUAUAAUCUAUCCGUUUUGAUUUUUACGUUUUGGUUUAUUCCGGAUUUCUAGUCCUUAAUUUAUAAAUCCUUCAACCUCUAUUUCUUUACUUUGUAUAUAAAUACAAGUCCUGAGUAUCGAUAAAAAAAAGAUAUAUAUAUAUAUAUAUAUAUAUAUAUAUAUAUAUAUAGAGAGAGAGAGAGAGAGAGAGAACUAUAAGCUGUUAAAUAAAUAAUUUUUGAAAUUAAGUUUUGAGAGCAACAUAUUGAAAGGGUGCAAGUUUGAAGGUUCUUCCAUUGUGCAAGGAAGAACCUUAUCAGAAGAAGGUUAUAGGCUGUUUUAUCCUGGGGACGACAUAGUGUUUGUGAACUGCUUGCACACUUUGGGCAGAGCUGCGAUAAAGAGAGCGACUUAGUCUGCGACUCAUCCUAAGAAUCAUUCAUCACUCAAGGCUUUUACAUUUUCCGGGUAACUUCAUUCAUUUCUAUUUCAGUUUUCAACAAACUACAUUAAUUUGACAAAACUAAAUUCUAUUGUACGUGACUUAAACAAAUAUAUCAAAUGAGAAUUGGCUUACAGAAAUAGUGAUUUAACUAAACAAAACAAGUAAAUGUAGAAACUUAAGAUAAUAGAAAUAAUUGAAGAAAAUUAGAUUGACAAGGCACUAGAGUUCGACCUUUACCAACAACACUCCUACGUAGCUCUUCCAAUUGCUUAAGUAAUCGAAAACACACAUGCUUUGAAGGUUGAGUUUUUCCUUAUGUAGUUUUACUUGUGACAUUCAAGCUAAAACGCAUACCACUACAUGCAAUUCAUCCAUGACAUUGAGAUUAAAUAUAAACAUGAGUGAUUUAUUAAUCUUGGUGAAAAUCCUUUUAAUAAACCAUGUAAUCCCUAAAAGUAUGAUAUUUACCUUAGGAGAAAUUACAAUCCUCAAUCACAAGAAGCAUAACCAAUUUUAACGUGACAUUCGUUCAAAAUUACAUCCGAUGACUGUUCUAAGCAUCCUAAUGGUGAUCAAGUAUCAAGGCACAUAUAUAGUUUAAUUUAAUGAUUGAAAAUAUCAAAGCAAACAUUUAAUAAUACUUAAGCAAUUAAAAGAGAAAUCUACGUAUUCAUGUUGAGGCUCAUGGCUUCACUCUAGUGAAAGAAAAUUAAUUAUACAUACUUAUCUAAAAACAUAAGAAAUUAUCCAUAAAAAAUCAAGGAAAGAAUACAACCUUUAGGCCAUCUCCAACCGAUGGCUGGCCAGAGGACUCGUUUAAGCCCUUUGGCCCUCCAAGAUUCUCCAAGAUAUUAAUAUUUUAAUGAACAGUACAAGGCCAUAUUUGCCUCCGUCUCCAACCGAGGACCAGAGGGCUCGUUUUAGCCCUUUCACAAAAAACCGUCUCCAACCGAGGGUCAAAGGGCUAUAGGGCCAAACAUAAUUUAUUAUUUAAAAACUACAACUUAAACGUUUUUAAAUGUUUUUAAAAAUGUUGUUUAAGUUUCAUGUUGUAUAAUUUUUAUGUUGCUUAAUGUUAUUUAAUGUUGUUUCAUGUUACUUAAUUUAAUUUAAUGUUGUAUAAUAACUUAGGAAGUUAUAGGAAAAAAAUAGAAUUUAAAAAAAAUAUGAAACAAAUUUUGUGAAAUAGAAGUUAUAGGAAAAAAAAAGAAUUUAAAAAAAAUAUGAAAUAAAUUUUGUGAAAUAGAAGUUAUAGGAGAAAAUAGAAGUUAUAUCAAAAAUUUUGUAAAUAAAAAAAAUAAUAAAACUGUAAAAUAAAAAAACAAAUGCAACAGCUAGCCGUUGCAUUUGAAUUUUUUCUUAAAAAAUCAUGUCGGUUAUAACCGACAGGAAUACAUGCUAUUAUUUAAUAUAAAUGUAUUACUGUCGGUUUAUUUAGUAUAAAUGUAUUACAUAACCGACAGUAAUACAUUUAUAUUAAAUAAAAGCAUGUAUUUCUGUCAGUUAUAACCGACAGAAAUAACAAAACAUUAAAAAAAAUAGCCAGCCCUCUCCGAUUCCGUAGGACCCUCCCAGAUUCCAAAGCCCUCUGGCCUAACCCUCAGUUGGAGACGGUUUUCAGGUUAUUUUCGGUCCUCUGGCCCUCUGAACCUUUUGUUGGAGAUGACCUUAUUUACAAGAAUUAUUCCUGCUGAGCUGCUUCCACCCUCCUCUCUCUGCCUUUGCUCUCUUCUUCUACUGUGCCUUCCGUCCGUCUCCCUGCUUCUCUUCUGUUUUUCCUCGUCUGUUUCGUGCCCUUCCUUCAACCAAAUGCAGCUAUCUGCUUUUUCCCGGCCACAAAGGCCCAGUGGAAGACAAGUCAAAUUUCACUUCGGUAGUGGGAUUGGCAAGGCAAAGCACAAAGUGCCCGUUCUUUUUCUUUUUUCUCCACUUGCCGUGUCCCAGCUUGGAAAAUUCCAAAAACGUUCGGUCAUUCCCAGUUGCCAAAGCAGGUUGGAGCUUUUGAACUCUUCUUCCGCUUUCUGCGCACACCCACUACCUCACAAUUACAACUUUAUUAGCCAAUCUAAUAUUAUAUCUUUAAUUGCUUACCAUGUCCUCUUCCAAUUGACAAGUGACACAAAGUUUCUAUGGAAAUUAAUAAAAAAUGUUUGAAAAUUUUGACUUUUAACGAAAAUAACACAAAUGUGUUGUAAGUGAAUAAUAUCCAAUAUUGACUUUUUAAAGUAAAAAGGAAAAUUUUGAAAUAGGUCCAGUUUUAUAGGCCUACUUUUAAAAUAGAUUCAAUUUUUAGUGACUUUUAACUUUUGAAAUAAGUCAAAUUUUUUAUUACUUUGAACCCAUAUCAAAAUACCUCAAGUAAAAAUGUGAUUUUCCAUUAAAAUGAACCGUACCAAAAGUGUUUUGUUGAAACUUACUUCUUAUUUUUAGAACUCAUAGAGGAGGAAAAGGAGAGAGAGUGGCGGAAAGAAAAUGUGGAAAUAAUUUCCACAAUUAGUUUUCUAUGUUUGCACACUUCCAAUAAUUUUCAUCACUCAAUUCUCACAUCAAGGGAAACAUAAUCAUGAUCACAAACAUAAUCAUGAAGUUUCCUCAUCAUUUUAUUUAUUUAUUUAGCCGAAAGCUGGUCCUAGAAACACAACAUGGCAAAAAUAUCACAAAUACUUAAAACUUUCAACUAAACUAAACAAGAAAACAAAAAUAAAAAGGCGAAAUAUAUAGAAAAAAUAUUGGUUCAUCAACAUACGCACUAAAGUUGCUUUCAUCUAUAAAAUCUAAGAGCUCUUAGAUAUAUUAACAUGCCGAAACAAUUCAUCGAGAUGUGAAUCCGAAAAAUGGCCAGUGUUAUUGGACUGUUGAGCUUAUACGAACGACAUGUUAUUUGUAUUUACAAGCGUGGGACGAGAUGCUGCACACACGAGAUUCACAACCUGCAUGAUUCCAGCUUGUGAAGGCGCACAGGCGAGUCCUACUUAACACCAGAAUACCCUGCACCCUGCACUUCAGGAUGCCGCAGUGAAAUGAUCAAAUUUCAUUUUUUUUCCCUAGCUGCCAUCACUUUAUUCUUCUAGGAGAUGCGACGAUUGGUGAGGACUUAUGUGGAACAGAUUUAUUGUAAACGUGGCAUCCCAAUUUAAUAAUAUAAUGCCACAUGACAUUGUCUUAUUGAACUGAGGCGCAACAGUGAUGGUGAACUCAUUUCAUGUAAGUUGCUAUUAUUGUUGGGUGUCCUUACGCAAAUUUUUCAAGACAAGGUGGAUUUUUAACCAAAGAUAGUUGUGUGGAAGCAUGAAAUAUGAAACCAAUAAGCUAAUACAACAAAAUAUGACAAGACAAAUAAUCCAAAUUAACACAAGGAUUUAUACUGGUUCGACGUAAGCCUACGUCCAGUUCAAAGACGGCGAGAAAAUUCGAUUAAUUGUUAGAUCCCAUAUCGCUGUGAGGAGUGGAUCCUUUAUGCCUUAUAUGUACAUGCCCACCUCUAUAUAGCACGAAAUCUUUUGGGAGCUCACUGACUUCGGGUUCCGUAGGAACUCCGAAGUUAAGCGAGAAAGGGGCUAUAGUAUUCCCAGGAUGGGUGACCUACUGGAAGUUCUACUCGCGUAAGUUCUCAUAAACAAAACCGUAAGGGCGUGAUCGAAGCCCAAAAUGAACAAUAUCGUACUACGGCGGAAUCGAGCUCGGGAUGUGAUGGAGCCCAGGUCGAGGUCACUAAUAGUCAAAAUGAAAAUUACAAAUUUAGUUCAACUCUCAAAUCCCAAAAUCCACAUACACCCAAUAACUCUCAUUCAUACAAAGAACAAAUGGAGAAUAUGGAAACACAUACCUAAUCCCUUCUCCCAAAAGCCAGAAAAAUUGUAGCACCAAUAUCUUGGAUUGAUUGAUUACAAACAAAGGGAGUUACAAACAAAAGGGAGAGUGCAACAGCUCUUCUUCAAAUGGGAGAGCCGAAUGCUCUCUCCUCUACUCACCUUCUUUCUGCUGCUUCCACCCUCACACUCUACCGCUCUCCUCUACUUAUCUCUCUGCAAGAUCCAGCAAGGAAGAUAAAGAGCACAACGAUGAAAGCAACAUUUUCUUCUCCGCCAACCAAAAAUGCCGAAAGAAAAAAAGGGAGGCAGAUUCUCUGCCCUCCCACUUCCCAUGCCCUCUUGUUUGUGUGGUCACGGUUAAGCAACGUCAAUAUUUUAUAUUACUAUUUCUUUUUGUCUUAUUAUCUCUAUAAAAAAAAUAAUAUAAAAUGUUGACGUGCCUUAACCGUGACCACACAAAAUAGAAGGGCACGGGAAGUGGGAGGGCAGAGAAUCUGCCUCCGAAAAAAAAAUCAACCUUUUCUUUUUUGUUCUACAAACAUCAUCAUUAUGCCUCCUCAUUAUGUUCCCACAUCAUUAUAUCCCCUUUUUCUUAUUCUAUUUUUCUUGCUUUCGGCUUCUUUAACAAAUGCAGCAAUUGCUGCCAAUUAAAACAAACGAAAACUAAUGAAAAUAAUUUGAAAAUUUUGAGUUUUAACGAAAAUAACAAAAUAAAAAGUAAAGUAAAUGGUACUAGAAUUAACCUUUUAAUGUAAAAAUGUAAUUUUUCGUUAACGUAAACAGUAUCGGAAGUUUUUUUGUUAAAAUUCUCAAACAAAGGAAAACCACCCGUGUCUUUCACAUGGACCAAAUAAACAAAACAACUUAAUGGGCAAUUGGGUCAAUAAGUGGCCCACCACAAUUUGGCACUAGAUUCUCACCUUCGACAAAGUGAAAACAAAACCAUUGGAAAAGCAAUAGCCCAUGUCUCAAGUUAAUAAGAAAGGUAUCUAUUUGCUUCAAUGUUUCUGACUCUCUUGAUACCAAAGCCAUCUGCUUCCCAUCGUUCAUAUUUCUUCCUGAUUCUUGCAUCCUCUUCUUUUUCAGAUUUCGUUUCUCUACCUUUGCAUCUCAAUUUUCUCUGUUUUUCUAAACAACUGCUUGCUCACCCAAACCGAAAGGCACAUUGCUUGGGGUUGUGGGGUUGCACAUAUUAUAUGGCAGAACAGAUUGUAUGCUUUGUGAUCGACAAGUUGAUUCAACUAUUCAUCACUACAGAAGCAAACCUUUCGAGAAAUGCACGUAUUGAAGUUGGUUUCAUCAAAGAUGAACUCGAGAGCAUCCGAUCAUUCCUCAAGGAAGCAGAUGCUAAGGCUGCAGCAGCAGAUGGAGAGACUAUGAACGACGGUGUUAAAACUUGGGUCAAUCAAGUAAGAGAAGCAGCCUUUUACAUUGAAGAUGUCAUCGAUGAAUAUUUGCUCCACAUCAUACAGCAUCAUCAACACCAUGGAUUCAUUCGUUUUUUCCAUAACAUAAUCCGGUUGGUUCAAAAAAUGAGAUCACAGGAUGGGAUAGUUUCGAAAGUUGACGGUAUAAAAAAAUUGGUUCGUGAAAUCAAGGAUAGAAGUGAAAGAUAUGGAUUCAAAUCUAUUGAUCAGCAAGGGCAGAGCAGUGUAGAAAAGACUCUACCGUCGAACGACCCUCGAGUGGCUUCCCUUUUCAUUGAGGAAGCUGAAAUUGUGGGGAUUGAAUCUGCCAGAGAUGAGCUAACUCGUUUGUUGGUAGAAGGAGCGCCAAGACGUGAAGUGAUAUCAGUGGUUGGCAUGGGAGGACUUGGGAAAACCACUCUUGCCAAGAAAGUGUAUGACCAGCCGAAGGUGAUGGCACACUUUGAUUGCUAUGCUUGGAUUACAGUGUCCCAGUCGUACAGGGUUGAGGAUCUUCUGAGGACGGUAAUAAAAAAGUUCUACAGUUCAAGGAAGGAGCGUUUCCCAGAGGAAAUUGACACAAUGGAUGAGGAGUCCCUGAUUAGCACAUCUAGAGAGUAUUUGCAGCAAAAGAGGUACAUUGUUGUGUUUGAUGAUGUGUGGAAAGUAGAUUUUUGGGGGGCAAUAGAACAUGCUUUACCCGAUAGUAAAGGCGGACGAAUAAUUAUCACUACACGGAUUCAAGAUGUUGCCAACUUUUGCAAAAGAUCUUGUUUUGUUCAUGUUCAUCACUUGCAGCAUCUGCCUCCAAACAAGGCAUGGGAAUUGUUUGUAGGAAGGCAUUUCAGUUUGAAUUGGAGGGAAAGUGUCCUGAAGAGUUGGAAGAGUUGUCUCUUAACAUCGUCAAAAGAUGCGAAGGACUACCUUUGGCAAUUGUUUCCGUAGGUGGUCUGCUGUCAACCAAAGCUAAAGUUGUGUCUGAAUGGCAGAAGUUAUACAAUAGCUUAAGUUCAGAGUUAGAAAGAAAUCCCCACCUUACAAGCCUCACAAGAAUCCUAUCCCUCAGCUAUCACCAUCUACCGUAUUACCUCAAAUCGUGUGUAUUAUACUUUGGCAUCUUUCCCGAGGAUUACUCAGUUAAUUGCAUAAGAUUAGUUCGGUUGUGGAUCGCUGAAGGCUUUGUGAAACCGAGGAGGGGCAAGACACUAGAAGAGGUUGGAGAGGAAUACUUGAUGGAGCUAAUUCACAGAAGCCUGGUUCAAGUUUCAGAAGUUUACAUUGAUGGAAAAGCUCGAGCUUGUAGAGUUCAUGAUCUAUUGCACGACGUCCUCCUUAAAAAGGGGCUGGAUUCAAGCUUCUGUCAUGUGUUAUCAAAAGACGAGUCGACUUUUAAACCAACAACUCGACGUCUCUCAUUGAACAUCAGUCCCUCUUGGGCCCUGGGAAGCAUUACACAAUCUCAUAUUCGUUCCGUAUUUACUUUCAACCUAGAAGAAUGGCCCGAGUCUUUUCUCGAUACAUUGAGUGGAAACAUUAAACUUGUGAAAGUAUUGGAUUUCACGGAUGCUCCAAUCAAUCAACUUCCUAAAUAUGUGGGUGAUUUGUAUCUCUUGACGUACUUAAGCCUGAGGAAUACAAAGGUGAAGUUGCUUCCAGACUCCAUAGGCAAUCUACAAAACUUGGAAACCCUGGAUCUAAAACAGUCCUUGGUGUAUGAAAUACCAACCAAGAUCAAUAAGCUUGUUAAGCUGCGGCAUCUUUUGGCCUACCAUCGUGACUACAACUGCGACGUGCGUUUGUUCUUGAAUAUGGAAAAAGAAGUGAAGAUACAUGAAGGUAUUGGAUGCUUACAGCUUUGCAAAAACUGUCCUAUGUGGAGGCGAAUCAUGGAGGGAUCAGGCUAAUCAAAGAACUGGGAAAGUUAAGACAGCUACGGAAGUUAGGCCUAAAAAACUUGAAAAGUGAAGAUGGAAGGGCUGUGUGUGCUUCUAUUGAAAAGAUGAACCACCUUGAAUCUCUACUUUUAACUGCAAUAAAUGAAGAUGAAGUCCUUGAUCUAGAAUCUAUUUCAACUCCACCAGAAUUUCUUCGUUCUCUCUGCUUGAUAGGGCGUUUAGAGCAGUUGCCAGGUUGGAUUUCAAAUCUUCAACACAUAGUCAAGAUAACCAUUUAUUGGUCAAGGUUGAGAGAUUCCCCACUAAAAGCCCUUCAAAAUCUACCUAAUCUGUUGAAGCUAACUUUGGGUAGGAAUGCAUAUGAUGGUGUGCAGCUGCAUUUUGAGGAAGGAGGAUUUCAGAAACUUAGGGAGCUAAGGCAAAGAUGGUGGGACUAAAUUCGUUGAUCAUAGACAAUGGUGUCAUGCCUUUUCUCCAAGAGUUUCACAUUCGACCUUCCCCACAACUGAAGGAGGUGCCCUCUGGCAUCCACCAUCUCCGGAAUCUGACAACUCUUGAUUUCUAUGACAUGCCAAAGGAGUUUGCGCGACAGAUGGAUCCAGAAAAUGGCCAACAUUAUUGGAUUGUUGAACAUGUACAAAAUGUUCGUUUUAUUUACAAGGUCGGACCAAGUUGGGGUGAAUAUGAAACUCACGUCCUGCGCGAUUCCAACUUUUCUCUUUGGUCGAAUGCUUGAAUCCAACUUGUGAGGGGCUCUUGCAGGUUGACUGGGAGGGGCUCUUGCAUGUUUUGGUUAAGAGUUGGUUGUCAGCUCUGGUAUCCUAGUUUCUCUUGCUGGUUGGCUGGGAGGGGCUCUAUCUCUUCUGUUUUCUUUGUGUCGUCCAGUCGUAUUCCUAGCAUUUUCCUUGUAAUUUUAUUGGUGGUUGCAAUAAAAAUAUCCUUUCUAAUUAAUUUUCUCUAGGAGAAUGAUAAACCGUAUGCUCUUUUUAAUCUCACUUUGAUAAUUGAUGUUAAAAUAAUAAAUUUUUACUAUCUUUUAUUUUACCAAUUCUUUAGUAUUUUAUAUUCUUUAUAUUAAUUUGUAAUCUCUAAGAUAUUUUGUUGAGUAAAUUGUACAAAUGGUCCCUCAACUUUAAUCAAAUUGGAGCAAUGGUCCCUCAACUAAAAAUCCAUUACCUUUGGUCCCUCAACUUAUCAAAACGUGCAGCUAUGGUCCCUCAACUAAAAAUCCAUUACCAUUGGUCCCUGAACUUUAAUUCAAGUGGAGAAAUUGUCCUUUAACUUUAACCCAAUUGUAACAAUAGUCCUUCCAAUAUAACUCGUUUUGACAAAUUUUUUGACAUAGUUGACGAAAAGAACCAUAAUCAUACACUUUGAUGAGUUAAGGGACCCUAAUUAUAUAAAUGGUUAUUCCAACAUAGCUUAUUUUGACAAUAUUUUGACAAAAUUGAUGAAAAGGACUAUAGCUACACAUUUUGAUAAGUUGAGGGACCAAUGGUAAUGAAUUUUUAGUUGAGGGACCAUUGCUCCAAUUUGAUUAAAGUUGAGGGACCAUUUGUACAAUUUACUCUAUUUUGUUAAUCAAAGGGUAGAUUUUGUGGAUUAUAGAAAUUUCAUGAAUCGUGAUUUUUUUUUUUGGCCAAAAAUUUCGUGAAUCAUGAUUGAGCUCUCUCCAUUUGUAUGCACAGAUUGAUCCAGCCACACAUAUUUUGUAUGCACAGUGGUGAAAAAGUGUUGAGUGCUUACAUGACAGUAUUUAUUCAAACUUCAUCAAUAACUAAUCUAACAUUUAAUGUAACAAAUUUUAUCGAUGGACCAAAAAAAAAAAAGUUUGGUGCAAGAUGUAAAGGUGAGGGCCCACAAAUGCAAGCGUUGGGCGUGGCGGAGUGGAUCCCACGAUUUCAAAAUUCUGGACAGAAGGAACAUUUCUCUCAAACUUGGGCGCUGAAAAAAGUUGUCGUCGUCGUCUUUCCUUUUCUGGCUGAGUUUGCCUUCUUAAACCAACCCGAAAUUCUCGCCCCAAACAAAUAUUCAAACCUUUCCGUUUCUUCCCUUCACAAAUUUCCAAUUAGGGUUUCACAUUAACCUUGAUCAAAACUUCUACGUACAUAUAUAUACAUAUAUAUUUACAUAUAAUCUCUCUCUCUCCCUCUGUUUCUGAAUUUUGAUUUCCCGGGAAAGUUUCGAACUCGAUCGCUUCUUCGAAAGUCUCCUAAAGCUUUUUGAAAAAACAAAAAUCCAAAAUAUUUGUGAUAUAAAAAGGAAAUAAAUUUUAAAUCGCGCAUGGAAUUGACUGGUUCAUUUGCCUGAAAGUUGGUUCAGAUAGAGAGAGAUGGAGGGAGGGGAGACAGAGAUUGAGGGAGGAGAGAGAGAGAUGGAAGAAGAAAUGGUGGAAUUCGCGAGGGAGGCUUUCGAGGGGGAUGAAAUUGACAUGGACUACGAAUUCGAUGCGCUAAAGGUUCUACGAUUUCACUAGGCCGGAAUCUGAUUGGGAGGCCGAGGAGGCGGAGGAAUGGUUCCGGUCAGCCGGAGGCUAUAAGCCCUCGCGUAAGCGAUUUCCGGAUCAUUUGUUUGUUGUUUUCUUAGCAUGUCCCAAAAACAAUGAAUUGGAUCAUCUUCUAUGAUUACCACAUUAAUUAAUGAUCGUUUUCUGCUAAUUAAUUUCAGCAUCUACAUGUUAAGUUCAUGCAUUUUAGUUAUGUUACGUUGUUUUAUAUGAACAGAUUAGAGAUUGAAUUAUAAAUAUUAUAAUUUGAUUGGAUUAAUUUGUUACCACUAACUUUAUUUUUCCUUUGUUUAAUUUGUUUCAAAUCCUUUAGCUUUCCUUGAAAAAUGGUUGAAUUGGCAACAAGAGAAUCAUCCGGUACCUGUAAAAACCUCCGCGGAAUCGAAAGAUGUUGAAGUUACUAGAUGCAGUAACUUGAAUAAUUGCAUGAAAGCAAAGGUCUCUGCACCCGUAGAAGAUAAUGACAAAGGUACAUUCUACCUCAUUUCUUAUUAGAUUUUUGACGCAAUGUGAUACUUCGUUGUAAAAUUACUACACUCGGAAAAUUUUAGUUCUGUUUUCUGAAUCGGCUUUGCCUGAAUUGGUACAUGAAAUUGUAUCUUACUGUUAUGUUUUAUGUUAAACUUUCGACACGAUUAGAGUUUUCUAAUCACAUGGCUCAAGACACUCCGAAAACCAAACUGAAGUCCCCGGGUAAGUCACCACAUCUAUCAAGGAGUUCAACGUUAAUGAAACCCACGGCGAGUCGGUUGGCCAAGCAAAAUCAGCACCGAGAGGUUCACUCCAAUCGGUUAUUAAGGAGGUGCUGUUAUUUUUCUCUGAUGUUUCUGUUGUCAUCAAUGUAUCUUUUGUUCUAAUUGUUUGGUGGUCCAGUUUUCUAACUUGUCCCAUUUUCCGACUCUUGGUUACAGAGUUGCGAAAAAGCUCGGGAAACUUGAUUAGAAAUCACCGAAUUCUCCGCCACCUACGAUGGGCUACGAAAAUUCGAAGUAAUGUAGCAUAGCACUUUGCAAAUUGGGUAGUGCUAUCCACACGUCCAUUUUUACUUUUAACACACCCCUCUCAAUUUUUCGGUCAUUGGAAAAAUGAGUGUGUAAAUAGUACUAUCCUACAAAUUACGCAACCGAAACUAUAUCAGAAGAGCGAUUAUAACGUAUUAAAGUACCAUCUCACUAAAUUAUCCAACAAUGUUUCAGAGAUUAGAAACAAUCAUACCACUUUCAGCUUAGUCAUUCCAUCAAACGGCUGGUACGCUGCAAUCCCACUUAUGCUCAAAUCACCACCGUCCGUUCCCACCAUCGAUUCCAUCAGAUUCUCCGAAACCCAUUUCUCAAUCAAAUCCAAACACAGCUGCAACCACACCCAGAAAAUUAAAAAGUUGAACUUUACAUAAACUCCACUCCGAAAACAUAAAUUACACAAAACCCAACAAAAUCUCACCCUGUUCUCAGACAAUCCGAGUUGAAUAACCCCAUCCGGAUUAUCCACCCUAUCGUACGGCUCCUCCGAAGCCCUAUCCAACCCGAUAUAGUACGGCGAGUCAUUGGGCUUCGCAACCCAGCUCGCCCGGGAGGACAUCCGGACCCGGCCCAUGGGCCCGCGGGUGGACAAGCUGGACCGCGACGGCGUUCUGGGGAGCUCCGCCAGGUUGGAGGAGGACUGGGAGGGGGAAGGUGGAUCGGGGUUGGAGGGUCGGCGUCGUUUUAGGUAGAGCUGGAGGCAGUAAUAGAGAGCACAUGGGAUUAGAGAGGCGAGGAUGAGGCCGCCUCUGCCUUGGACGACGCCUUGGAGUGGCACAAUCAGUCUCAUCGCGGUGACUCCGGUGGGCUUGUUUCGGGUUGGGUCGGAGUCGGGUU